AAUUGUCCAAGAGAUUCUGUUCUAAAGCUAAUCAGGAGUUUGAAACCAGAUAUUUUUGUUCAUACUAUUAGUAAUGGUGCCUACAAUUCCCCAUUCUUUGUCACUCGAUUUCGGGAGGCUCUCUUCCACUUCUCUGCCUUGUAUGAUGUGUUUGAUGUUAACAUAGCCCGCGACAGUCCUGAGAGGUUGAAGUUUGAAACAGAGUUCUAUGGCGUGGAGGCAAUGAAUGUGAUAGCAUGUGAAGGGAUUGAGAGAGAUGAGAGGGCUGAGACAUACAAGCAAUGGCAGGUACGUACUCAAAGGGCUGGUCUGAAGCUGUUGCCAUUGGACCAAGAGACUACAAAGGUGUAUAGGGAUAAGGUGAAGAAUGUGUACCACAAAGAUUUCGCAAUUGAUCAAGAUGGUGAUUGGAUGCUUCAAGGAUGGAAAGGUCGAAUUAUCUAUGCUUCUUCUUGUUGGGUGCCUGCAUAGGAGUCCUGCUUAAGUUUUUUUUUUUUUUUUUCUUUUUCCUCUCUUUGAACUUCUGCAUGUAUAGUGGAAUGCUAUUUUCUAUUUAAAGAGAAAAGAAAUCAUAAUAGGAAUUGACAUUAUAAAUAUAGAAGGAUCAUGGAUGUUCAUAAUUUUUCCUCCUUGUUAGAAUAAAACUGAUCAUGAUGGGGCAGCAGCUUUGAUUUCACAUUCUUGAGGCCGAAGAAACAAACACAUUAGAGAUCAUCAGAUUCCCAUUUCUUGAUGGUUCCAAAAUGCAGAAAAUAUAUUAAAGCAGCUGUUUUCUUCUGAUUAGUUAAUCAAUAGUAUGAAAGGUUCAGACCAGAGUGUGUUUAUUAUUGUCCAGCUCUAAUAUUCCAACCUGAUCACCUCACAUGCUCUCUGAGUCUGACUCUGUAAUUAUAUGUUUUAUACAGUACUAAUCGUGGUGUGUGUUUUGCCACGUCAAUAAGUCUGGGUAUGUAAAGUCUCUUUUAGUCGUUGCGGGCGUGCCACCGCGCGGACGCGGAAUGUAGUAGUUGUAGUAGCGGGGUGUGUUUAGUCUUUUGCUUCUAAUCAAGCGACUGAUGAUAGAGCGAGCACCAACUUCACCGCAGGGUUCUUUAGAUUCUCCUUGCGUACUGGACAAGGACUUACAGUAGUCCGCCUGAGCGUCACAAUAUCGAUACUGGACGUAAGGUCGAGCAGAGCUUCAACUAGGAAGGAAGAGAAAAAAGACAAAGCUCCGGGAGCAAUGAAAGCAAAGCUCCGGGGAGCCUGUAAGAGGAAAGGGCUAAGGCGUGAGCUUUUAGCGUUGGGUUCAACUGUGUUGAAAAUUGUAUUGUAUUUUUGUUGAGUUGUUGAGUGUGUCUAGAGAAUCUCCUCGAACUCCUUUAUAUAGAGUUAUUUUAGGGCCACAGGUAUUGGCCCAAAGCAUAUCAAAGACUUGUGGAAGUCUUUAACGCUAAACGUGGCGUAGGCGAUGUUAAUCACUUGCUUGACAUAAUAAUGUUUUGGCGAAGUAACUAAUUGCCUCUAUGUAGAAGAGCAGAACCAAUCUCAUAAAGAUGUGGACGUAGACGAUUCAUGCAAAUCCAAUUAAGGAAUAGAGUUCUUAACCAACACAUACACCUUCACGUGCAAGCGGACUCCUCAACAUAGAAUUAUCCCUAACCUAGUCAAACAAUUAAGGACACUUGCUUCCUUAUCCACUCGAAUGUCAUGCGAAGCCAAUGCCGUUUAGUCCUGCAUUUGUAUGCGAACUCCUCCUCUUGCUUCUUCGCGAAGUCUCCUACAUACGCGAAGUCAUCUCGCCUUGCUUCCAUACUAGGCCUCUAUCUUCUACGCUAAGUCCACUUCCUGAUCCCAUGCAAAGUCCUUUUCGCGUGUGAAUUCCGCUAUCUAGCUCGCAUGAUUUCGCUGGCGGGCCAUCACUUAUAAACUCAAUGUUUUGGGCUCGCCGGAGUUUAGCCAUGAAUUUAAUUAAUAUUCACUUUAGACAAUUACUGUCCAGUAAAAUAUUAAUUUAAGUGUAAACAUUACCCCCCCAGCCUCGAAGUCAUGAAUGUCAAAAAUGACUGAAGAGGUUUAUGUUUCAUGCUGCCCCAAAGCCACUGGUAUUGGCUCGGUUCAUACAUCAAAUAACUAUGAGUAAACAAGCCUGUGAAUAAGCCCUGAAACUCAAGUACCCAACAACAAAGCAUUGUAGCGAAGCUGCUGUACAAUUCGCCUAGUACCAUAUUAAAUUGAUGAUCAUAGACUUAACAUAGCUAGGUACCUUGGCCUUGAAGUUAACGUGCACUUCGUUUUCACUUCGCUUGCUCUACUCAGAAUACAUGGUACAUUGCACAUACCUCGAGUGGAUGUAUCUCGAAUAAAUGUGUCUUGAACAUAUGUACCUCGAGUGGAUACAUUUGAAAAGAAAUUGUCUAACCUCGAAGGGAUGUGCCUUGAGUAGACGUUCGCUUUGAAUGGAUUCAAAAUUGACCUUCGCUUGAGCUCUUGGCGAUGGCGAACCAUCUUCUUGAUAUUAAAAUCAUGGAGUGACAUUGGCCAUAUAAUUUGCUGCCCCCUAGUGCUAACCAAUGAGAGUCAAACAAAAGGACCAUGUCGGCGAACGGUCGCAUAAUUUGGUAUUUUUUUUUUUUAUUAGAGGCCACAGGUGUUGGCCUAAAUAAUGACCAAGACAUUUGAAGAAAGUCUAAAGUCUAAACUAUCUGGAACACAUCUCUAUCCCAUAUGUGCCCCUUAGUUUUGAUGUCUAUUCGACGAUACUUAAGAAGAAUGGAGGACAUCAAACCCUCCCCCCCCCCCCCCCCCACCCACGUGAAGGAGUUGUAGUACCGUGCAUCAUUGAAGUUAGCAAACACCGAAAAAGGUCGUGGAUCAGCCUUGAGUAGAUCCUGGUGUAUGAAUAAAGGUACACAAAACUUGUAUGGAUACCCCCCAGUAAAGGAAAGCAUGCUGCAAGGUCAUGAAAACACAUUGCAAAUUCGCGCGUAUCCUGACCUGUCUGCAUUCAAACUGCCAUAACUCUUUCCAGGAAUGUCGGAAUGACGAACCAUAAAAUCCGACAUCCAGGGCUUUCUGUUGAUAUAGGGCUCACCUGCUGGUUCUUCCUGGAUCAUUUCAGUUUAAUCCGCGAAGUCCACUGUCCAGUAGUGCCUGUUGCAAUUUUCAGCACUGUAAUCUAUUGUGUUUCUUGACUUCGCCGGCAGCAAUUCUAAGGCAUGUGGAAUGCAUGUUGUCUUCAAGCCUCAAGGAUAGGCCUCUAAGUAAAGUUCAAGCCUUACAUAGGCAAGAACGUUGUCUUGCAUUUAAGCAAAACCAAGGAUCUCUUUUUGUGUUUUUUGCUAUUUGAUUUUUUUGUAUUUUUCUUUUUCAAUGCGAGUAAGAAAGAAAAAGAAAGAAAACGGAAGUAAAAGUUGAAGUAAAAGCUAGGAGCAAAGAAAAGAAGGGAUCAUAGUAUGAUUAGUUACCCUUCGUAAGGCCACGAGGGAGGUCACCGAUGCUUCACUCCAAACCUCGAUGCCAUUAUGCUUUCGGCAUGAGAUCCUCGUCGUAGAGAACUUCCAAGUGCUGAGCAAAGAUGUUAUGCAUCAACAACUUGAAAAUUUGAAGAAAGUAGCUCGUAGGGACUGCCUUGUUGCCCCCCCCAAGCAUCUUUGCCAUUUGGUAAGACAUGAUCUUGAAUUGUAUCCUUGCGGGAAGUAUGGUGUAAAGAUCAGCCUUGUCACCGAUUAUCAUGUCAUAGUGCAUAGUUUCAUCAUAACUAGGCAAAGACUGGCUGUCAAUUUUAGAGCCAAUGAUCAAUCUAUAAUCGUCAUCGUACUCAUCGUAUAUUGGCGUCGUUGAAAGAUCACAGUAAUCUCAACUGUUCAUAGCCUCAGGUGGCAUGACUGCCUUUCAUCGAAUACAAGAGGUAAUUCUCAAACCCCAUGUUACACCUAAGGAAAUUCCUGAAUUAUUAUCAGACAAUGCCAUAAACAAUAGAUUUUUUAACAAACACUAACUAACAAAAAUAACUAUUCUAAUAACAACUUUAUUUGUUAUCAAACCGUGGUGAAACAAUAAAAAGAUCACUACAUUUGUAACAUUUUUACAUAAACUUGUUUUUGAGUAGUUAUCUCUUUCUCUACACCAAUCUCUCAGGUGUAAAGAAACAAAGUGAACACAGUGGUACAAUUGGGUACAAAUAAAAGAAAGAGUUUCAACUUUCAACUUUUAUGGUUUUUUUUGUUACUAUCUUAAUUAACCCCUAUAGGUGGUUGAGUUGGUAAAAAUGUAUGUGUGACACCUCAUCAUAUCUACAAGGAAAAUGCUUGAGACCCCAAAUGUUUAUACAAAAAUCGGAUACCAAAUUAUGUGGCAACCGCUAUGUCAACAUUUGGCAUUGAAAAUUCUUGGUGAGGUGAAAUUUUAUUAUUUAUAUUUUAUCGAUUGUAUUACAUAUGUUAUAAAUUGAAAAUUAAAAAUAAAAAUUCCUCUUCGUCAUCUAUUGAUGGUCGCAACUAUCUACCAUGAAAGAAUCAAUGUCAACCACCCAAAGAGAUCAAAAGCAAAAAUGAAGAAAAUCAGACAUUUUGAUUAGAGAACGAUUGUUAUUUAUGCAAUAAACAAGAAGGAGAUUCUGCAAAGACCUAUGCUUACCUACUGUCAUUGCUUCAUGAACUUUUUCUCAAAUCUUCAUCCAAGUUCAAAACCAAUUAACCAUAAUUGCAGAAUUUCACUACCCAUGAGCCAAACAGAUAGGUUACAAGAGCCAUGAGCCGAAUUAUCAAUCCUAUCUGCCACAAAAUUUGGGCACAAAUUUGAUUUGGUCCCUGGUUCUUGCAAAACAUGUCUAACUUGUGAACGAUGAAAAUAAAGAAGAGGAAGACAAAAACUGCAGUAUACUUUGAAUCAUCAGCUUCAUUUAUUUCUGGUACAUAUCCAAAUUACUGAUGAACACAGCCAUUUGAACUCUCAAAAAGAUAUAGACUGAUAUUGAAACAGAAUAGUGCAGCAAAUGAUGUCAUAUGCCUGAACACUGAUCAUGAGUGUCCUCAUCAAGUUUGUAAUACGUUAAAGGAUCCAUUUCCAGGUAAGUGUCUUUGUAAGUUUUUGCUAUUUUUGUUCUUCUUCAAGCUUUUGGAAAUGUGGUCGACUAGUUGAGGACAUAUACAGACUCGUCCACUAUCCAUUGUGGAGGUUUUUCAUCACCUACAAAACCAAAGCUUUACUAACCCUUUAUAUGGUGUUCAAAUGUUCAACGUAUCUGUCAUCAUCAACUCAGGGCCUACGAGCAUUUACAUAGUUUUGUUUACCAAGUAAUCGUAUUUCUGGGUUUAUUUGAGAAUGAAAGGAUUAGAUGACCUUUUAUCAAAAAAGAAAAGAAAAAAAAGGGGAUAGAGAUGCCUGUGAAUGAAGAUGAGAGACUGAGAGCGACAGAGAGAUCUAGACAAGAAAGUCCAGAGGUCUUUAAUAUCAAGUUGGCUUCGGUGUUUCGAGGUCGAAUCAGAUGAAGAUUCAAACCCAAAUUUGCUCAUCUCUUUUCUUCUCUCCCAAGGUAGGCACUUGCGUUAAGAAAAGCGACAACUAAAGCAAAGGGUUCCAUUAAGGUUCAAACUAGGGCUGCCACUUGGUUUGGUAAAUACCAAAUCGAUCGAAAACCGAUACGAAAAUUUAUNNNNNNNNNNNNNNNNNNNNUUUUGGUAAUCGAAAUCAAAAAAACCGAAACCAAGAAAUACCAAAAAAGUUGGUUUGGUUCGGUAUUUCUCGGUUUCGGUUUUUGGUAAAUACCGAAUUUACCGAAAUUCUAAUUAUUUAAAGACUUAUAUUUCUAAAAACACACAGACUAAUAAUCUUAUCUCACGUUUUCAAUUGUAUAUACCAUUUAGUAAAAAACAAGACAAUGAAUAGAAAAAUUCAACUAUACUUGGAAGCAUUCGGGUCUUAAUUAAAGCGAUCAACUUUAAUUCAAUGUUACUUGUUAUAUAAAAACGCUCUUACCUACCCGUCUUAGUCGAUUCAUCACACACACACAUAGACAAACCCACUUAGAUGACAUGUAACCGCCCAUGUAAAAAUUUAGGACUGUUUUUACCUCUCUUGAUGAUAGGGCUUCCCAUAAGAAGCACAAGCGUAAAUAGGGUUAGCCGCCUUGAUCAAGGCCAAAACAUUAUCAAAAAUACCUAAUUUUUCUACCAUAGUCGUAUUUCACUAUAUUGAUCACAUCAUUGUUCACAAGGUUUUUGAAAAUUUUGCUUCCUCUUUGUAGUUGGUUCACAAAGAUGUACAUAUGCAUAUAACUUACUAAAUAAGUUAUACCACAUUAUCAGGCAUGUUGUGGUUCCAAUGAUUACAAUUCAUAAAAUUAAAAUUCGACCGUCUGAUGUGAUCAUUAUAGUAUAAUACAAUUAUGAUAGAAAAUUCAAUUGUACUCAAUAAUGCUUGGGUCUUGAUCAAAGCGGUCAACCAUAAUUUAACGUCACUUAUUACACGAAAAAGCUUUUACUGCCCUUAUGUGACUUAUUUUGGUCGACUCUUCCACACACAUACUUUCACAUAGAUGACAUAUAACUUGUUCAUAUAAAAAUUUGGAAACAUUUACAUCCUGACUAUUUCGGUAGAAAAUUAAACCAUACUCGAUAAUGUGUACUGAANNNNNNNNNNNNNNNNNNNNAGUGUCUUUGUUAGUUUUUGUCUAUUUUUGUUCUUCUUCAAGCUUUUGGAAAUGUGGUCGACUAGUUAUGAUGAGGACAUAUACAGACUCGUCCACUAUCCAUUGUGGAGGUUUUUCAUCACCCACAAAACCAAAGCUUUACUAACCCUUUAUAUGGUGUUCAAAUGUUCAACGUAUCUGUCAUCAUCAACUCAGGGCCUACGAGCAUUUACAUAGUUUUGUUUACCAAGUAAUCGUAUUUCUGGGUUGAUUUGAGAAUGAAAGGAUUAGAUGACCUUUUGUCAAAAAAGAAAAGAAAAAAAAGGGGAUAGAGAUGCCUGUGAAUGAAGAUGAGAGACUGAGAGCGACAGAGAGAUCUAGACAAGAAAGUCCAGAGGUCUUUAAUAUCAAGUUGGCUUCGGUGUUUCGAGGUCGAAUCAGAUGAAGAUUCAAACCCAAAUUUGCUCAUCUCUUUUCUUCUCUCCCAAGGUAGGCACUUGCGUUAAGAAAUGCGACAACUAAAGCAAAGGGUUCCAUUAAGGUUCAAACCAUGCGGUCCUCAAGUGGUCUCUAUGCCCUAAUCACGUCCAAAAUUGUCACUAGACAUUUUAUUGGAGCUUUACAAAUAGUUAACAUCGUCUCGGGUUGUCACUAGACUUGUUCUUGGUAUCUUUCAAUUGGUAGGUUGUCUAUUUCAUUGUUCCACGGUGAAAAUAGGUCAUUUCGGACUUCCAUCAAGAUUGAACAACUCGAUCCUCUCCUUUCUCAUUUAGGAGAGGAUACAAUUCCUUUUAGAGCUUUGCUAUUUGGGUGGCGUUUCUACCUUUGGCCCAUGGUAAGCAUUUAGUGUUUUUUUCAGUGAGCGCUUGUGUACUAUGUAGUAGUUAAUAGUCUAUAACUCUCGUGUCAAAUGAUUGAACCUAAUCAAUGUGUCAUUUGUGCUACUACUAGUCUAUAGGUUCUCAUGUCGAAUAAUUGAACCUAAUCAAUGUGUCAGAGCUUCUUUAGCGCCGUAAUGCUAGCUAUUUUUUAGUUAAAUUUUAAUCAAAAUUAGUUAAAAUAUUAUUUUGGCUAACAACUUUAGAAAUGUGCUUGUAUCAAUACUAUAUAAGAUUAAAUUAAUAUUAUUCUUCAAAUGAAGAUUAAAUAGUUUAAAUGUAUUUAUGUAUCACAUAAAAUAUCUUAAAAUGAAUGAAUUAAAUUAUAAAGAGUCUCAUUUGUGUCAUCUUGCUCUCUAUAUUUAACUAACAAGAUAGCUAAAAGUCAUAAUAGUUAAACUUUGAGUACAUGUUGGAGCUUCUAAAAUAUCCAAAAAAGGUAAACACGCUCUCUAAAAUAGUUAAGAGACUAAAAUAGAGUGUUAAAGAUGUUCUCAUAUGUGCAACUACCACAUAUCAUUUAUCCACCUAAAUAUGUCGGAAACGGGGGGUUUGUAAUGACCAUUUCUAAUUUAAGAUAUCAAUAUAUUGUCUACGCCUUCUUUUUAAAAAUCAUUGUUUAUCUAUUUAAAUCACAUACAUAAGUUUUUUGAUAAAAUGAGAAAAUCAUUUACUCACUCCAUUUUCACCUAAAAAGUUUUUAAGUUCGUGUCACGCGGCAAAGAAAAAGAAUCCGAGGUUUUUGAGUCAAAACUCGUGCAUCAUCAGACCAAUCAAGAUCUUCAUGAAAGACAGAGCGACUGGUUUGCCCGGUACCUUUUUUCCAAAUGGAUGACUCCACAGUUUCCUUGACUGACUGACACAUGAGUUCCGCCACCUCCCAUUUUUUCGUCUCUCAAAUACCUGAGUUCCACGAAACUUCGUCACAUAGCUUAUAUAUAGCACUACCACACCGAGCUGGGUUUGGUUCUCCUCCAGUCCAUGAUCCUUUCCCUUCCCAAAUCUCAAAGCUUUUCUUCCAGGUACGCCACCCCUUCAGCUUGGUUUGUCUUCCUCUCCAGUAAAGUUUCCUUCUUUGCUUCUAAAUUGAUCUUGGACUUCAGCCAGUUUGCUUCAUGUGUUCUUGAGGUUAUUGAGGUUUCAUAUUGAUUUGAUGUUAAUGGGUACGGGAAGCUUAUGCCUUUUCCACCAUGGUGGGGGUUGUUUUGAUUUUGUGUGUUAGAUUUCAAUUCAAGGUUUAGUACUUUUAGUCACCUUUAGGAUCUUGGGGGUUCAGGGUUUUACCCAGAACCAAUUUGAUUGUUUGUGAAUAUGGAUCCAACUUACAAUGGAUUCCCUGGUUUCAUAAACGACAUUGAUUUCGACCCCAUGUUACCCAAUUCAUCUCAAUUCCCAGAAACCCCAAAUCAGUACCAAUUUAACCAGCUCUCUCCAGAUUUUGACCUUUUGAGCAAUCAGUUUUCAAUUCCACCUGAGCCGGAGUCCGGUAAUCUUGCUCCUCCAAUUAGUCUUAGCCCAGGGGGGGAGUCUUUUUAUCCCAAUGAAAAUUCAUUUUCUGUUCCUACCACUGUUAGCCCCGGAGUGGAUUCUCUGUCCUCUGAUGAUGAAACUGUGUUCAAGUUUGUAAACCAGAUGCUUAUGGAGGAGGAGGAGAACNNNNNNNNNNNNNNNNNNNNAUGAUUACAAUUCAUAAAAUUAAAAUUCGACCGUCUGAUGUGAUCAUUAUAGUAUAAUACAAUUAUGAUAGAAAAUUCAAUUGUACUCAAUAAUGCUUGGGUCUUGAUCAAAGCGGUCAACCAUAAUUUAACGUCACUUAUUACACGAAAAAGCUUUUACUGCCCUUAUGUGACUUAUUUUGGUCGACUCUUCCACACACAUACUUUCACAUAGAUGACAUAUAACUUGUUCAUAUAAAAAUUUGGAAACAUUUACAUCCUGACUAUUUCGGUAGAAAAUUAAACCAUACUCGAUAAUGUGUACUGAAAUGAUUAUCUUUUGUAAAUGUAUUAUCAGACUCUAGAAACUCAAGUGAUACUUAAAUUUUAUAGUUUUGUAUUGUUUUGUUAUAUUUUGAAAAUAUAUUUAUUGUGAAGUUUGGUAAUACCGAAAAACCGACAUCCGAAGUUGGUAAGAUUUAUCUCAUCCCGAAGUUUUUGGUUUGGUAAUUGAAAGUCAUAUUUCAUUACCGAAAGCUUUGGUUUUGAAGUUGGUAACGCCCAUUACCGAUUCGAACCGACCGAGUGGCAGCCCUAGUUCAAACCAUGCGGUCCUCAAGUGGUCUCUAAGCCCUAAAUGUUAGAGUUAUAUCUAAUGUGGAUUCAAGAUUAACACAUGAGAGUUCAACAUAUAUAAACAUCUUGUGAAAUAAGUAAAUGAGGUUAAUCGAUAAUACUUAACUUGGAUAUUUAUCUUAGUAAUCUGAUUAGAUAAAUACAAGGAAUUUGAGAUAACAUAGAAUAUAUGUUAUAGUUAUCACAUAAGGUAAUUGAUUGGUUUAUUAGAGUUGCCUUGUGAGAUGGGAUUCUAAGUGAACUUGUCAAUAUAUAAAAGGGUCCCUGUGUAAGCUCAUACUACGCCUGUAAGUUUUCAUACUCACUGUGAAGAGGCAAUCUGGAGAAUUACAUAGAAGACUUCCUCUGCUCCAGCUUGAUGGCGUUGAACAUGAACAACCAAGGUUGGUGCUUCUAAUUCUUAUACAUGUAUAUAUGUUCUUGUUUUGCUGAAACAUGAUGCAAUGUGUUUAUGUUUAUAUGUGGUUUUAAGUUCAAUAGUUGGUAUCAGAGCCAACCAUAUUUUUUCAUAAACCUUGUUGUGUUAUGCAUGAUUAUUUUGAAAAAUUUUCUGAAAAUUUUUUAUUUUUUUUCUUCUGCUGUGACACUGAUGAACACGAAUUGGGCCAAGAGUUUUGUCAAGGCCCAAUACACAAACCCAGCACAAGCAUGAACCCAGACCCGAUUUUAAAAGGACGCGGAUCCUUUUGACCCGACCCGUUUUCGUUUUGACCCAACUGAUCAUUAAAAGACAACGUCUUUUUUCAAACCCAGAAUUGGGAUUAGGGUUCUUCUGCUAAAUUCGUUUUUUGGGAUGAUCUUUUGCUGCAUAAUGGGCUGCUAUACAUGGUUAGUGUGCGACUUUGUUUUUUAAAAUACAUGUUGUUACUAACUCUGUUUUGCAAGCGCGGGAGCGUCCUGGUACGUUUUCAAUCUCAAUGAAAUUUGAGAUUUUUACUGUUUUGUGCGAUUGAAUCAUGCAUAUGAACCUUAGAACUCGCCUGGGGAGUAGGUUGAGGUGCCCAGAUGAAACUUCAAUUUCGAAUUGUUUGAAAGAUGGCAUGCAUGAUAUGGAAUGUGAAUUACUGUGAUUGUAUGCUUAUGAAUGAUUUGAUGAAAUUGUGGUGAUUCUGAGUACUUGAAUGUAUGAUCACGCAUAGCUUAAGAUUGAAAUUGACAGAUAUGUAUAUUUUUACUCCCAAAUCUAUAUAUGUUUGUUGAAAUAUCAAGAUUGAGCAUGAUUGGUUUUCUGACAGUUUUAUGAAAUUGGAAUUGGGAAAACGUAAAGUAACGAUCACAGGUAUUUAGUUAAUNNNNNNNNNNNNNNNNNNNNCAAACUAUUUUUAAAUGGUUCUUGUAACUAAGGCACAUACCUGAAAAUUGCAUAUUUUUUGUUGAAAUAGGGACUGUAUCAUCUACAGAUGGCUUUAAACUUUACCUAUCUUUGAUAAAAAAUGUGGUUCUAAAUAUGAUAUGUUUUACUUCUUAAAGUGCAGUAUGAUCCUUUCUUCUUGCCCACAGGUGUUGACUGAUCAUGUUGUAGGAAUUAAAAUAUGUUGUAGUUUAGGAAAACUAAGGAAUAACUUAUGCUUUGCCCACAUGUAGACUGGUUAUUGAAUUAGACUGAAAUACUAAUUUUGGUUUAAAAGUAUGCUUCUAUAUGUAUACAUUCUGAAAAUGCUUAAACUAAAAUUUAUUUUAGUUUCUUCCACUUUGUGUCAUAUGGAAUUACCUUGUUUUGGUUUGACACUUGAAGUGUUGUAUGAGAAAUGUCUGGUUUUUGGUAUGUUUCUGGUGUGAUUUUCAUGUUUUUUGAAAAUUUUUACAUAUAUACUGAUAUAUAUCGAUAUGGAUAUAGAUAACUAGAAGUACUAAAACUUUUGUUUUCUUUUAUGUUCUUUUUCAGUUUUGACUCCUGUGAACGUAGAGAUUGUGAUGCCUUUGAAUGGUAGCAACUAUAAGACCUGGAGAGAUGAUAUAGACUUGAACCUAGCACAACAGAAUGUAGAUUGGUGUCUGAGUGUCCAUGAAAAUGGUGCAGCUAGAGAUAAUUAACUGGGUGAGAGCCAAUAAGAUAUGUAAGCUCACUAUUAUGAGGACCAUCUCUGAUGUUGUGAAAGGUGGUAUUCCCGAGAAAGAGAUAGCUAGUGAGUACCUUACUGCCAUAGUUGAGAGGUUCACGAUUAGUGACAAGGCUGAGACUCCAUUGUUGUUAGACCAGCUGCAUGGUAUGAGGAGAAGAUGAACAUCAGGGAAUAUAUUCUGAAGAUGAUUGAUAUUGGAGCUAAGCUCACUGCCCUUAAGAUGACCAUGGAGAAAGACAUGAUUGUGAUGCUAGUUCUGAAAUCCCUCCCUUGUUGCCACUGACUUUCAUGGCCUUCUUGCCAACUCCCAGGUUCUUAGAAGGGCUAGCUUUCUUUUCAGGUUUCUUCCAUUGUGGUUUGGUGGUGACUAAGUGAAUGGUAACCUUCUUAAUCCUCUCAUGUUCCUGGACACAUAUAGCAAUCAGCUCAUUUAGUGUCCACUUGUCUUUCUGCGUGGUGUAGGUGGUCUUAAGCUGAUCAAAUUCAACAGGGAGGGAUUUCAGAACUAGCAUCAUAAUCAUGUCUUCCUCCAUGUUCAUCUUAAGGGCAGUGAGUUUAGCUCCUAGGUGAAUGGUAACCUUCUUAAUCCUCUCAUGUUCCUGGACACAUAGCAAUCAACUCAUUCAGUGUCCACUUGUCUUUCUGAGUGGUGUAGAUGGUCUUAAGUUGAUCAAAUUCAACAGGGAGGGAUUUCAGAACUAGCAUCACAAUCAUGUCUUCCUCCAUGUUCAUCUUAAGGGCAGUGAGCUUAGCUCCAAUAUCAAUUUGAUCAACUUAAGACCACCUACACCACUCAGAAAGACAAGUGGACACUGAAUGAGCUGAUUGCUAUCUGUGUCCAGGAACAUAAGAGGAUUAAGAAGGUUACCAUUCACCUAGUCACCACCAAACUACAAUACAAUAAACCUGAAAAGAAAGCUAGCCCUUCUAAGAACGUGGGAGUUGGCAAGAAGGCCGUGAAAGUCAGUGGCAACAAGGGAGGCAUCAAAUGCUUGUUUUGUAAGGUUAAGGGCCACAUGAAGAAGGAUUGUGGCAAGUAUAAGACCUAGAAGGCAAAGAGAGGUAAUGAACCAUUGUUUAAUUUUUAUAUUGAGGUGAAUUUAGUUAACGUUCAUACUGAUACUAACUUGGAGUUUUGACACUAGCUCACCUGUGCAUAUCACCAAUUCUCUACAGGGGCUGCAAAGCCAGAGGAGGCCAAAGGAAAAUGAGAUCAGGAUCCAUGUUGGAGAAGGCAUGAGAGUAGGAAUUGAAGCAGUUGGUUUUGUUAAAUUAGUUUUNNNNNNNNNNNNNNNNNNNNCUUUUUCUUUUUUCUUUUGAAUAAUUUGAUCUCUAUUUUGUACCUCAUAAUAAACUAUUUCAAUAAAUAUAUAUUUUCUAUAAUAGCUAUAUAUUAAUUUUUUUUUCAUAUAAAAAAUUUAUGCAUCUUGCAAGUAUAUGCGUUCAACAUGUAUGAUAAUACAAAGUUUUAUGUCACAUGAUCGAUAUUGAUUAUAAACUAUAUGUAUGCUUUAAUAAAAAGAAAUUGGAAAACAAAAAUAUAUAAGGAAAACAAUAAAGAAUAGAAUCAAUUAUUAUUGAAUUGGAAAGUCCAAAGAGAAUAAAUAUAUAUAUUUUUUUAUAUAAUUAUUGUCCUUAAUAGUCAUUGUGUAUGAGGAUGCAUAUGUCAUUUAAUAAUUCACAAUAGAGUGAGGUCUGGUAAGCAAAUUUGGAGGUCCCAAUAGCCGCACUCUUUCUUUUUUCAUGACAACCUCUUUGUCAACCUCAAUUCCUUGAUUUUUUUAUUUUUAUUUUUGCAUAGAAUAUCAUUAACCUCUAUCAUUUGAUCAAGUUGUAAGAACGAUUUUUCGAUGACAACAAUUUAAAAAAAAAUUUAUUCAAAUCAUGAAUCGUUUUCACAGUCAAUUGCAAAACAAUAAAAUACAUAAAUUAAUGAUAUGCACCCAGAAACCUUUAACCUAGAGAAAACCCCAAGAAGACCAAUCUCGUCGACCACCACUCCAUGAAGCAAGUCCUCGAGGAAAAGAUUCAUUCAAAUAACUAUUAAAGUAAGACCUUUCUCUUGUAGAAUAACGAUAACAGUUUCAGAUUAAUGUUCCAGGAAAAAAAAAGCUAUAAAAUAUUAUCCAUAUGCACCCAAAAACCUUUGACCUAGAAGAAAAACCCUAAGAAGGCCAAUCUUGUUGACCACCACUCCAUGAAGCAUGUCCUCGAGGAGAAGAUUCAUUCACAAGAAGAAGAACAAGACGAGGAAGAAGAAGACCAAGAAGAAGAUUACGAAGAAGACGUUUUCUAAACUAAACGAAAAUCAAGAGGAAGAAAAAGAAGAACAUAUCAUGAAUCAAAACAAAAAUUAUAUUAGUAUUGAAAAGAUACCUUCUCUGAAGGUUUUGAAACAGAGGAUUGUGUCUUCGGUAAUGGAGAUUCUUUCAUUAGGUGUAGUAGUUUUUUAAGCAACGGUUACACUCAGGUUUAGGGUUUUGUAUCGUUAAUUUGAACAAGAAAAAGGGAAGAAUAAUAAUAUAUAUGAUUACAAUUUUUUUGUUGUUGUGAAAUUCAAUGUCUAUUACUGUCAUUUUAUAUGAGGUUAUAUUUGUAAUCCAAUAAGUCAAAACAUGUGGAGGUAUACUGAGCAAAUCUGGAGGUCCCAAUAGCCGCACUCAAGUUAUAAUAGUUAAAUUUUGGUUACCUGCUGGAGCUCCUAAGAGCAACUUUAACAGACUCUCUAUUUUAGCUUUUAGCUUUUAGCUAUUUUAGAGAGCGUGUUUUAGUUUUUUUUUCGGUAGCUCCAACAGACUAGCCAAAGUUUAGCUAUUAUAACUUUUAGUUAUCUCGCUAGCUAAAUAUAUAGAGCGAGAUGACUCAGAUGAGGCUAGCUAUAAUUUAAUACAUUCCUUGUAAGAUAUUUUAUGUGAUAUAUAAAUAUAUUUAAACUAUUUAAUUUCUAUUUGAAGAAUAAUGUUGAUGUAAUGCUAGCUAAAAUAGAGAACAUUGAUGCAGCCACAUUUCUAAAGUGGCUAGCCAAAAUGACAUUUUAGCUAAUUUGUCUAAAAUUUAACUUAAAAAUAGCUAACAUUGUUAAAGAUGCUCUAAGAUGUCCGAAAAAGCUAAACACGCUCUCUAAAAUAACUAAGGAGCCAAAAUAAAAGUGCUAAAAAUAAUCUCAUAUGUGCAACUACCACAUACCUUUAUCCACCUAAAUAUGUCGGUAAUGAGGGAUAUGUAAUGACCAUUUCUAAUUUAAGAUAUCAAUAUAUUGGCUACGCCUUCUUUUUAAAAAUCAUUGUUUACCUAUUUAAAUCUAAAAGAAUGGACUGUAUCCAGAAAGGAUCGUGGUGCUCAAUUUUUUUUUUCCUCCUUGUUUGAAUUAAACUGAUCAUGAUGGGGUCGCAGCUUUGGUCUCAAAUUCUCGAGGCCAAAGACACAAACACAUUAGAGAUCAUCAGAUUCCCAUCUCUUGACGUAAUUUCAAAUGCAGAAAAGGAUAUUACAGCACCGGUUUUGUUCUGGUUGAAUAAUUAGGGCAUCCCUCAUUAAGUUAAUCAAAAGUAUGAUCGGUUCAGACUUCAGACCACAGUGUUUGAUAAAUUAUAAUAUUAUCCAGCUCUAAUAUUCUAACCUGAUUAGCUCACAUGUUCUUUGACUCUGUUAAUUUUAUGUUAGUUAAAUAGUUACAGUACUAAUCAUGGUGUGAAAGGGGAUUAAGCAAUGGACUGGUUAAAAAAAGCAAGAGGUUACCAGAAGAACCAUUCUUGUUCUUCACGAAAUACCAAAUGGACUCGUAGUGAUACUAGUCUUUCACUGAUAGAGGCCUUUCUGGCUUGGUGAUCAAGCUUUCUAGAGAAACCGGUGGCUCUGAGACUUAUCGGUAGCUUCAGCACCGCAGCUGGGUUUGACUGUGUCAAACGGUUGGAGAGUCUGACCUCAUUUGUUCAUAGCCUCUUGUGGCAUGGCAUCAUUGGCUUCCAUCUAAGAGAGAUUCCAAACAUUUCUCGAACAUUUCCUCUCUUCCGUAUCGAAGUAUUCCUAUCUAAACUCAAAACGCAAAGACGACCUCGAUAACAGUCUUCUAAACGCAAAAGACCUACAAAAGACAUCAUAAGAAUCUAAUUUGUUUAUCUCAAAUUGUUUUUUAUUUUAUUUCUAAGACCAUAGUAGUUGACCAUUUUAUUUAUUUUUGAAGAUAUUUGCUAUUUUGAAACAUUAUAAUGCAUUCUAUAAAUUUAUUUUUAUAUUUUAUUUAUGUUUAAGAAAAUUAUAUUUUCGUCCUUUUGUUAUGUGUCUUGCCCUAAUACAUGUAGAAUUGGUUAAUUCGGUUUUCUUAUUAGAAUAGAUUACAAUUAAUAGAACUUCUAGAUCAUUCGGGAGACUCUAUGUAAUACCUAUAAAUAAGUCUUUCUAUCAAUGAAUGAGUAGAUCGUUAUUCUCGUUAUCUUUUCUCCUUCAACAAUUUACUAUUAAAAAAUAAAAAAUAUGGAAAAUACAAAACCGCCUAGGCGGCCCGAUUAAUCCUCUGGGCGCUAGACGUUAGCUGUCCACCCGACUAACGCCUAGCGUUUUUUAGAACAUUGAUGAUCACAUUGCACAAGUUUUUUUUUGACAAAAUGAGAAAACCAUUUACUCACUCCAUUUUCACCUAAAAAGUUUUACUUUUUAAGUUUAAGUUCGUGUCACGCGGCAAAGAAAAAGAAGAGACAAGUAAAAGGAGGCCAAUAAAUCCAAGGUUUUUGAGUCAAACUCGUGCAUCAUCAGACCAAGCAAGAUUUUUUUUUUUUUUUUUUUGGUAAAUGAAAUAUAUUCAUUGAGAGAAGAAUCCCAAUGUCUAAGAGCAUCUCCCACCGUAAGCCAAAUUUCAAGCCAAAUUUAGCUUACAAAACAAGAAUAUUUUGUAGAAUCUUUUUUUAGCUUAUCAAAUUCUCUCACCAUAAGCCAAAUCCUAAGGUAAAGCCAUUUUUUUUUUCUUUUGUUAUAUAUUUGUUUAAUUCAAUAAUUAGCCAUGAAAAAGAUUUUAUAUAAAUAUAUUCAAUAUGGGGCUCAUAUGAAAGAUCUCGUCGAGAUCAUCGCGAUGAUAUAAAAUUUUGUUAGUAACAAAUUUUUAAUUUAGAUGCUAGUAUAAAUUAGAAUAACAAUAUUUAAAGUUAAAUAGAAUAAUACUUAGUUUUAGCCUACCAAACCCAUAAGCCAAAUUUGGCUUACAAAAUAAGUCAAGCUAAAUUUUUUGUCUUGAGAAUUGUAAUUUGGCUUAUGGUGAGAGUAACUAUAGGCUAAAUUUGGCUUUUUAGCCUAUAUUUUAGCCUAUAGUAAGAGAUGGUCUAAACGGCUUACAAACAGCAUAUAUAAAUACAAAAAAACUUAUCAUCUAAAUCAAUACAGAAAUAGAUACCGAAGAGCUUUCUUGCCAACAAAUAAGAGAGCAGCGACCAGACCAAUCAAGAUCUUCAUGAAAGACAGAGCGACUGGUUUGCCCGGUACCUUUUUUCCAAAUGGAUGACUCCACAGCUUCCUUGACUGACUGACACAUGAGUUCCGCCACCUCCCAUUUUUUCGUCUCUCAAAUACCUGAGUUCCACGAAACUUCGUCACAUAGCUUAUAUAUAGCACUACCACACCGAGCUGGGUUUGGUUCUCCUCCAGUCCAUGAUCCUUUCCCUUCCCAAAUCUCAAAGCUUUUCUUCCAGGUACGCCACCCCUUCAGCUUGGUUUGUCUUCCUCUCCAGUAAAGUUUCCUUCUUUGCUUCUAAAUUGAUCUUGGACUUCAGCCAGUUUGCUUCAUGUGUUCUUGAGGUUAUUGAGGUUUCAUAUUGAUUUGAUGUUAAUGGGUACGGGAAGCUUAUGCCUUUUCCACCAUGGUGGGGGUUGUUUUGAUUUUGUGUGUUAGAUUUCAAUUCAAGGUUUAGUACUUUUAGUCACCUUUAGGAUCUUGGGGGUUCAGGGUUUUACCCAGAACCAAUUUGAUUGNNNNNNNNNNNNNNNNNNNNCGAAUUAUCUAUGCUUCUUCUUGGUUGGGUGCCUGCAUAGGAGUCCUGCUUUAAGUUUUUUUUNUUUUUUUUUUUCUUUUCCUCUCUUUGAACUUCUGCAUGUAUAGAGGAAUGCUAUUUUCUAUUUAAAGAGAAAAGAAAUCAUAAUAGGAAUUGACAUUAUAAAUAUAAAAGGAUCACGGAUGUUCAUAAUUUUUCCUCCUUGUUAGAAUAAAACUGAUCAUGAUAGGGCAGCAGCUUUGAUUUCGCAUUCUUGAGGCUGAAGAAACAAACGCAUAAGAGAUCAUCAGAUUCCCAUUUCUUGAUGGUUCCAAAAUGCAGAAAAUAUAUUAAAGCAGCUGUUUUCUUCUGAUUAGUUAAUCAAAAGUAUGAAAGGUUCAGACCAGUGUGUGUUUAGGAUUAUUGUCCAGCUCUAAUAUUCCAACCUGAUCACCUCACAUGCUCUCUGAGUCUGACUCUGUAAAUUAUAUGUUUUAUACAGUACUAAUCGUGGUGUGAAAGGGCAUUAAAACAAUGGAUUAGGUAACAAUAACCUGAGAUUAAUACCAGAAGAUCCAUUCUUGUUCUUCACGAAUAUGAAAUGGAACCGUAGUGAUAGUCUCUCGCAGAUAGGCUUUCUGGCUUGGUGAUCAAGCUACCUAGAGAAACCGGUGGCUCUGAGUCUUAUCGGUAGCUUCAGCUGGGUUUGACUGUGUCAAAAGGUUGAAGAGUCAACCUCGCUCAGCUGUUCAUAGCCUCAGGUGGCAUGACUGCCUUUCAUCGAAUACAAGAGGUAAUUCUCAAACCCCAAGUUACAAUAAGCACCUAAGGAUAUUCCUAAAUUAUUAUCAGACAAUGCCAUAAAUAAUAGAUUUUUUAACAAACACCAACCGGCAAAAAUAACUAUUCUAAUAACAACUUUAUUUGCUAUCAAACAGUGGUGACACAAUAAAAAGAUCACUACUACAUAUGUAACAUUUUUACAUAAACUUGUUUUUGAGUAGUUAUCUCUUUCUCUACAUGAAUCCCUCAGGUGUAAAGAAACCUAUGUUGCACGGACACUCCACCCACCCAUGUGGAGUGUCGGAGUGUCCAACACUCCCGACACACCGACACGCACGUGGCAUGUCCGGAAAAGUUGACUUUUCCGACACGUUGACCGGCCCAACAUGCCAUCUCCGACACGCCACGUUAUUAUUUUUCAAAUUUUUAACAAAGAAAAAAAAGAAGAAAAGAAAGAAAAAUGAAACCAAAACCUAAAACAUAAAUGGGAAGUAGUUGUGAAGAGGUCGCACACAAUCAAAAGAGAAAAGAACGCAAAUGAACAAAAGAACGGAGACGAAAAUGAACUAGCCCCAUUUGGUUUAAACGGCGAGUUCAAAACGCAGACGAGUGGUUCUGCUAGACCAAGCUUUGGUCCUUGCCAGAUCAAGUUCUCGGGUCGAACGACGAGUUUAGGAUACCAAAAUGACCGUGGCUCGAUGCGUUAGCGUCGACGAACAUGGUCAACCUCAUGGCCAGAGCCUGGAAGCAAAUUUGAUCGCCGAUCGGUGCUUCAAAGACAAGAUUGCAAACAAAAGAGAGAGGAGCAUGUGGUGAGAGAGACGAUGCUCCAUAUGAUUUUCGAUUUUGAAAUCAAAACUGAAUUUUGAUUUAAGAGUGAAGAAGAAGAAGUGGAUUGUUUUCAGUAUCAAAAAGAAGAAGAGUCGGAUAGAAUUUGGGUGGGUUUAGUCAAAUAUAUACAGAGGAAGAGGGAUUUUGCGUCAGAAACAAAGAGAAAGAGGGAGAAGUUGCAUGGCGGCGUGAGUGUUCCUCACACAAAGAACAACAAAAUAACCAAAUAAAUUAUUAUAAUAUAUUUUAUUUUAUGUUUUUAGUGUUUUAUAUAUAUUAAAAAUAUAGUAAAAUAUUAUAUAUUUACCGUGUCCAAGCCGUGUCGGAACUUAAGUUUUUGGGAUUUGCUGUGUCGCCGUGUCUGUGUCCGUGUCCAUGCAACAUAGAAAGAAACAAAGUGAACACAGUGGCACAGUUGGGUACAAAUAAAAGAAAAGAGUUUCAACUUAACCCCUAUAGGUGAUUGAGUUGGUAAAAAUGUAUGUGUGACACCCCAUCACAUUUACAAUGAGAGAAACUAAUUCACUUUAACCAAUUUACCAGCUCCACAAGAAUCGGUUAUAUCUUUAAUCAAGGGGCACGGUUACUUACUUGAAAUAGAAUUAAAAAAUGAUUGAAUGAUUGUUAUUCGUUACACAUAAUGGAAUCAGAAUAGAUGUGGGUCCCACCACCUAACCAAGAAUUGAUUCCUUAAUAACCCGAAAUUGUAAUUUCAAGGAGGGAGGCGGGUUUAUAAAUGAUAUCAUCAGGAAUCAACUUUUAUAUCUAUAAUACCCUCUAUUAGUUUUAAUAUGCUAAUAAUAAUGUGAAAGUUUUUUAGUUUUUUUUAGAUACUAAUGCUAGUGAUCAAUUUUUUUAUUAUUCUUUUUUAGAUACUAAUAAUAUGCUAUUUACGGAAGUUGUUUAAUUUUAUAUGUAGAAGAAUAAUAAGUAUGAUAUCUUAAUUUUGUUGUUCAACCCUUGCAUCUUGUUGUUUGAUAUACAACUCAAAAUACUAAUACUACUAGGACCAAAUGAUUUUGAUAAAUGAUGAUAAAAGAGACGAGAUUGCAAUAUAUACAAGCACACACGUAACCUCUAUAUUAAAUUAUUAAUAUGUAACCCCCAGUAUUUUAGUAAUCAAAACUGUAAUUAGUUAUAUUGUUAGUCUAAUUUCAUGGUAAGUAAACAACUCAAUGAAAUUAGGGAAAAUGCCCAUUUAGUACUAAUUUAAACCAUUUAUUUCUCAUUCUAAUGAAAAUCUUUUUCAUUAGCCCAUUUCAAUAUAAGGUGACCUUUUUUAUGUCCAAAUGCACAAAUCUUUAUGCCCAAAUGCACAAAUCUUUACUAAAGUCUUAACAAACCAUAUUAUUUUAAGACUAUUUUGUCAUCACCUCUUACAUAUGCAUAGAGAGAGAAAAUAAAAGAGAGAAUACUUGGCCGGAAUCUCACCGAACUCUUGUCACCGGCCGCCGGACUCCGGUCAUCGGAAUUUCUCCUGUAACUAGUUACUGACCCCCAAUAACCAGUUACUGACCAGUUAAUGACCCUUAAUAACCAGUUACUGACCCCUAGUAACCAGUUACUCACCAAUUACUAACACCUAGUAACCAGUUUCUAACCCCCAGUAACUGGUUACUGGGUGUUAGUAACCAGUUAUUGACCAGUUACUGACACCCAGUUACUGACCAGUUAAUGACCCCUAAUAACCAGUUACUGACCCCUAGUAACUAGUUACUCACUAGUUACUGACACUUAGUAACUAGUUUCUGACCCCCAGUAACUAGUUACUGGGUGUCAGUAACCAGUUAUUGACCAGUUACUGACAACCAGUAACUGACCCUUAAUAAUCGUGUUAUUAACCUCUAAUAAUCAGUUACUGACCCCCAAUAAUCAACUUAUUGUAAUAGAAAAGAAGAAAUACCAGAACAUAAUCGAGUUAUUCACCACCAAUAAUCAAUCAAAACUAUAACACAAAUAAUCAAGUUACCUAUCAGCUACAAAAAUACAACUACACCUACCGUAGACCAAUGCACCCUCACACACCGGAUCUACUCCCUUACCAUGUGCCUUCCCUCACCGUACCUACUCCUCCCUCAUCAAAACUGCUUCACCUCCCUCACCACGCACCCGACGCCUUUGAUCUGGCUAUGGAGGCCGAGCGCCGAGAGAAGACCGACGACCGCCGAGCGUCAAGAGAAGACCGAUGACCGCUGAGCGCCGAGAAGACCGCCGAGCGCCAAGCGCUGAGAGAAGACCGACGACAGCCGAGUGCUGACCGACAAGCGCUGAGAGAUAAGCCUCGACCGACGAGCGGCGAGAGACCAGCGGUGACCGACGAGCGCCUAGAGACGAGAGGAGGUCGGAGGAGAGCGGUGCGCUCAUCAGGAUGUAGCGGACAGACGUCCCUCAACGGAAGAGGUCGCCGGAGAUGGUGGAGGCGAGGAUGAGGUCGCCGACGAAGGAUCUGUGAGAGAGAGAGAGAGAGAGAGAGAGAGAGAGAGAGAGAGAGAGAGAGAGAGAGAGAGAGAGAGAGAGAGAGGAGAGAGAGAGAGAGAAAGAGAAAAAGAUGAGAUUUGUAUGGGUUUAAUUCUAUAGAGGGUAAUAAUAUCUUUUGCAUAAGAAUCAUUGAAAUGACUAACAUAAAAGAUUUACAUUGAAGUGGACAUUAAAAUCCCUGUUUUUGGGCAUUUGGGCAUUUUCCCAUAAAAUUAAACUCUCCACAUACUAUUCUAUUCUGUCUCUCAUUCCUUUAUUCUUCUAUUCCUGACGAAAUUUAUUCCAAGUAAGUAAACGUGCCCAAGAUGUAUAUGAAAUCACUAAUCGAGUAAAUCGACCUCUCAAUUAGCUUGAAAUCACAAUGUAUUUUCAAAACAAUAGGAAGCUUGAGUUUGUCACAAUUGGUAAAAGAGCAGAAGAGAAAAAAAUCCAUUUUUAGAGUAACAUUUUGCAUCACCAGAUCAGACCAAACAAAGUUUCAAUGAAAGACAGACUUGGACACUAGGUUUAUAAUUUCUAAAAAUGGAUGACUCCCUGGCUUCCUAGACCGACACAUCCAUUUUCGUCUCCACAAAUAUCUGACUUCCAAGAAACUUCACCACCCUCAGCUCAUUAUAAAUAGCACUACCACAGUCCCAAAGCUUUUCUUCGAGUCCAUGACCCUUUUCCUUCUCAAAUCUCAAAGCUUUUCUUCAAGGUACGCCAGCCCUUCAGCUUGGUUUGUCUUUCUCUUCACUAAAGGUUCGUUCUUUGCUUAAAAAUCUAAUCUUUGACUUGAACCCUUUUGCUUGUAGUGAAAGAUUGAUGAAAUUCUUAAGGUUGGUCAACUUGGGUUUAAUCUAGUGUUGAUGGGUAUGGAAAAGUUUAUGCCUUUUCUUCCAUUGUGGGGUUGUUUCGAUUUUGUGUGCUAGAUUUCAAUUCUAGGGUUUAGUCACCUUUAUGAUUUUGGGGGUUUAGGGUUUUACCCAGAAUCAUUUUGAUUGUUUGUGAAUAUGGAUCCAACUUACACUGGACUCCCUGAUUUCAUGAACGACAUUGAUUUCGAGCCCAUGUUACCCAAUUCAUCUCAAUUCCCAGACAUCUCAAAUCAGUACCAAUUUAACCAGCUCUCUCCAGAUCUUGAUUUUCUGAGCAAUCAGUUUUCAAUUCCACCGGAACCGGAAUCCGGUAAUCUUGUUCCUCCAAUUAGUGUUAGCACAGAGGGAGAGUCAUUUAAUCCUAAUGGAGGCUCAUUUUCUGGUCCUACUACUGUGAGCCCUGGAGUGGACUCUCCUUCCUCUGAUGAUAUUGACUUCUCUGAAACUGUGUUCAAGUAUGUAAACCAGAUGCUUCUAGAGGAGAACGUAGAGCAAAUGCCUAUCAUGUUCCAUGAUCCAUUGGGCCUUCGUGUCACCGAGAAAUCUUUCUUUGAUGUUCUUGGCCAACAGUAUCCAUUCUCACCAAAUCAGCAACAACAACAACCACAACAACAACAGCAAACACUUUAUGUUGAUCAACCCAACCGGCAACCGCUUUAUGUUGACCAAAAAGUUGAGAGCCCUGAUGAUUAUUUUGCCGGAAGCAGUAGUGAUUUCAAUGCUAGUAGUAGUAGUCCUAGUACUGGCAGUAGCAACUCGGCUGAUUAUCAGUCGCGUGGUGAAUCUGGAGAGCAGAAGCCAUCUUUUUCACAAACCUCUCUUUCUAGUGACAGUGUGAACCAUUCCACUUCCAAUUCCAAUUCGCAACCGUCUCUUCCUCUGACAAAUAGCCUGUCUACCUUUGGUGAUGGGAUGUUGGAAGCUUCUGUGAAUCAGUUUCUGGCUCAGAAUAUAUUUACAGAUAGUGAAUCUGUCUUGCAGUUUCAGAGAGGGGUAGAGGAAGCUAGUAAGUUCCUUCCUAAAGUUAAUCCAUUGGUUAUUGAUUUGGAAAGCAGUAGUGUGUCUUCAGAAGUGAAAGGACAUGCUUCAACUGUUGUCGUCAAGAAGGAAAAGAGUGAGAGGAAGACCUCACCUAGUAAGCGAAGGGGAAGGAGGAACUCACCGAAUGGGUCAAUGGAAAGGAAGAAGUCACCUAAUGGGUCAAAAGGAAAGAAGAAUCACGAGCGAGAAGAUGUGGAUUCUGAAGGGAGGAGUAGCAAGCAGUCUGCAGUUUUUAAGGAGGAGAUGGAGGAGGAGGAGGAGGAAUUAUCUGAGUUGUUUGACAAGGUCUUGCUUUGUACGGACGGGGGUAAUCAGUCUUCAUGUGGUUCAUGUGGCGACAAUGUAGAUGUGAAGAAUGAAGAAAGCAAAAACUUACAGCCAAAUGGACAGCCACUGGCAUCAAAUGGUGAAGGUGGGAAGGCUCGUGCUAAGAAACAAGGCAAGAAGAAGGAAACUGUGGAUUUAAGAAAUCUCCUGAUUCUCUGUGCACAAGCUGUGUCUGUCAAUGAUUAUAGGACCUCUACCGAACUACUAAAGCAAAUUAGGCAGCAUUCUUCUCCUUUUGGCGAUGGAUCUCAGAGGUUGGCUCAUUUCUUUGCAAAUGGCCUGGAGGCACGAAUGGCUGGUACUGGCACUGGAACCCAGAUUUUUUAUACUUCCCUUGCUUCCAAAAAGACAUCGGCUGUUGAGAUUUUGAAAUCUUACCAAGUCAGUCUUGCAUCUUGCCCUUUUAAAAGGAUGUCAAUUUUCUUCAAAAACAAGAUGAUUUUUAAGAUGGCUGAGAAAGCAACUACCCUCCAUAUUGUGGAUUUUGGUAUCCUGUAUGGUUUUCAGUGGCCAAUCCUUAUCCACAAGCUUUCAAUGAGACCUGGUGGACCUCCCAAGCUACGAAUUACAGGGAUAGAGGUUCCCCAACCUGGAUUUCGCCCAGCAGAGUGGAUCGAAGAGACUGGAAGACGCUUGGCAAAAUAUUGUGAGCGCUUUAAGGUUCCUUUUGAGUUUAAUGCGAUAGCUUCGCAAAAUUGGGAGUCCAUCAAAGUAGAGGACCUCAAGGUUGAGAGGAAUGAGGUGCUUGCUGUGAAUUGUAUGUUACGGUUCAAAAACCUACUGGAUGAGACAGUUGAAGUGAAUUGUCCAAGAGAUUCUGUUCUAAAGCUAAUCAGGAGUUUGAAACCAGAUAUUUUUGUUCAUACUAUUAUUAAUGGUGCCUACAAUGCCCCAUUCUUUGUCACUCGAUUUCGGGAGGCUCUCUUCCACUUCUCUGCCUUGUAUGAUGUGUUUGAUGUUAAUAUACCCCGUGACAAUCCACAGAGGUUGAUGUUUGAAGCAGAGUUCUAUGGCCGAGAGGCCAUGAAUGUGAUAGCAUGUGAGGGGAUAGAGAGGGUUGAGAGGGCCGAGACAUACAAGCAGUGGCAAGUACGCUGUCAAAGGGCUGGUUUACAGCUUUUGCCAUUGGACCAAGAGUUAGUGAAGGUGUUUAGGGAUAAGGUGAAGGAAUGGUACCACAAAGAUUUCACAAUUGAUCAAGAUAGUAAUUGGAUGCUUCAAGGAUGGAAAGGCCGAAUUGUCUAUGCUUCUUCUUGUUGGGUGCCUGCAUAAGAGUCUUACAAAUCAUUUCUUUUUGGAAGUUUGUUAUUCUGUGAGACUGGAGAUGAAAAGGAUGUCAAGUUACCAGUUCAGAGGUAUUAUUUCCUCUUGCAUCUUUGUAUUCCUUUUUCUUAUGUAUGAAGAUGUUCCGCUUCUAUACUAUAAAGUUGGUCACCGGUAGUGAUAAAUUUGAAUUAUUUGACCGACUCAGCAAGAGAAAAAGAAGCUGACCAUAUUUUCAUAUUUUACAGAUCAAUUGUGGUAGUACUUACUUCUUGCGGAAGAACGUAAGUAGGAGGUGAUGAUUUGCUUAGAUGGCUGCGGCAACUCAAAUGGAUGCAAUAUCUGAAGGUUUUUUGGUCUGAUAAAUGACAAUCUGAGAUAUAGGGUUCUAAUAUGAUAUGUAGUUGUCUAGAUGCAGUUGGUUGUAUGACUAACAAAACUGCUUAGAUAGUGAACAAAAUAGGAACUUCUGUUGUGAUGGAAAGCUAAUGUUACACUAAAAUUGCCUACUGGCAUACUUGGUGGGGCACUUGUAUCCUUGAUCCUUGUAUUUACCAUAGGUUUAGGAAUGGAAGGGUUUAGAUGUUCUGAAUCUUUGUACAAUCUUUUGGAAACUUGGAAGCUAUAUAUCUGUUUUAUCAGAUAUUCUCAAGAAGUGGACUUUUCAUUUAAUUUAUAGUACAUGCUUUUUAUGUGGUUUAUUCAUCUGUCAUUUGCGUUGCUCAUAGUUCUCUCUGUUCUUGGUUUUUGUAUUGCAAGGCUGAUAGCUUCUUUAUUUUUCUAUAAAACUGCUGUGAGAAUUUUUGAAUGACUGCAUUUUCAGAAACAAGAAACAGUGACAUCAAAUUGCAUUAUGUAGUUGUAGUCCCAAUUAUUCUUGUGCUGUGGAAGUUAAUUAAUUGAUGACCUUCAGUUUUUGUUGGAGAAGGCAUUUUCCACCUAUUCAGCUAGGUGAUUCAUGGUUAUCACGCUGGAUGAUAGAUAGUGGAUACAGUGACAAAAAUGUGAAGUUAUUUGACUCUUUGUUGAAUCUAUGCUGCCUUUUCUGUUCACGUUGAAAAUCUCUCUGAUAUGUUGGAGAUGGUUGGGUCAUCCAUCUAUGUUCUCGCUUUCACCUUCAUACUGAAAUCACCUCACAUAUGCUAUUGAGUGCGCUCCUCUUGAUGAUUUAGCCUUUUUCAGAAAGAAAUUAUGCAAAGAAAUUUUUCUACUAUAUAUCUUCACCAAAGUUGAGCAACUGAUUGCUGAUGAGCACCUCCAAAUUUCGAUUGCCUCUAUAAUGCUCUGGCAUGAUGGUGAACACCUUUUGUCUUUGUUUUUUGGUACCGGAUGUUUACAUCAUCUAAUUUUAUAGUGUGGCGACAGAUGUUGAACACAUAUGAUUGUUUUUCUCUCCAAAAUUACAGGCUUUUGAUUCUUAAACUUUGAAAUUUACUAUAUUACUGAUCUAACAAAACUCAGGAGCACUGAUCUUGGUAGGAUUUUCAUUUAUUUAUUAAUUAAGUUGAUUUAGAACCGGCAUCCAUGUGGUUUGAUGUUUGACAUUUCCCUAAUACACUAAUAGUAGUAUGAUUUUUAAAUGAUAAACUUCAGCAGUGAGUGCUAUCAUGGUUUUUUAUAUCAUCUAUUAUUCGUUUGCCUUGACUGUAACACCAGAAAAUUAUAAUCACGCAUGAGUUUAGGACUGUCCAUUUGUCCCGGUGCAUUUCAUCUUUAUGUUUAAAUACUUAUAUAGUCCACUUGAUUUGUACAACAAUCAGACUGAUUGGCUCUCUCCCAUAUAGUCUGGACUUGUUAGAAGGUGGAGGCUAACAUAUUAUAGUUUAAGAUUGGUAAAAAUUAAGAUUUAAUGCCUUCUCAGAAUGAAGGAUCAUUAAUUCAUUUCUGUGAAGAUUGCUGUCGAGCUUUUGUUUAAGAAGGCAAAUAACACACAUCCAGUCACUGUCUGAUCAUUAACAUUUUCCUCAGGUGUGACUUACUCUCCAAUUUCUUGUAACUUAGUUAUUCCUUGAGAUGUUUCAGCUUUUAUUCAAUGUUUUUCUGAAUUAUUUAUGUGUUGGUAACCUGUUUGUCAUAUUGUACAAAGUCUGAAUCAAUAUUUGUUAGUUCUUCCUUCCUUGAAUUGGUUCAGCUUUCAUUCAUUGAUUGUUCGUUUGUUUUGUUCAUGUUCAUGGUUGAUAUUGUACAGAUCAUGCUCUCUUUUUCUAGAUUUUUAAUAUAUCCAAUUUUGUUUUUCCUAAAGCUUCUUCUGAUGAGUUGAUUGCAUAUGACAGUUGAGAUUUCUUUCUGCAAAGAUAGGUUGGUGUCAUGCAUACACUUCUUGAGAGUUUUUCUGUUCCCAUGGAAUCAUUCAUAUUUGAUCAGGGCUCAGUUUCAAACUAUUCUUAUCCAGAUCAUGGUAAUGGGUUUGAAGUAAAUCAUGAACUCGUCAACCCAGUUUUCCAUCCAACCAACUUGGACCUCCCUAGUGAUUCUAGUACAUCUUUUAACCCGGCUUCAGACGGAUAUUCUGGUGACAGUAAUGACUACAAUAAUCCUGUUCUUAAGUACAUAAGUGAUAUUCUUCUUGAAGAAGACAUUGAGGAUAAGCCCUGUAUGUUGCAGGACUGUUUGGCCCUCCAAGCUGCAGAGAAAUCAUUCUAUGAUGUCCUUAAUCAAAAGGAUUCUACAACACUCCAUCAAAGCUUUGAGUACUCGGAUGAUUACAGGAAUAGUUGUUUUAGCAAUGGUGGCGCUAUUCUUGGCAAGACAUACGGGGUUGCUGAUCCUUCAGAAACAUGUCAUGUGCAAUCUUCUCUUGUUCAAUGUCUGUCGGAUACCUCUUUGGUUACUGAUACACUUUCAAAGCUGCAUAGUCUUGGGGAUUCUGGAAGGGUGGAGGAAGCAAAUAAGUUGGUUGAAAAUUUUAAAAUCAUUGAUGCAGAGAAGUACCAAUUAAUGCCUCGAGGUUCUCAGACACUUGUAGGAUCAAAUUCAGCGUCUCAGCAACAGAAUGAUGGGUACAACUCAGCAUAUAGAUCAGAGGCAAAGAAAAAUCGUCAAAGGCAGGAUAGUCAUUGUCCAGAAGAAUGGAGAAGCAACAAGCAGUCAGUUGCAUAUUGUGCUGAUGAUUCUGAGCCACAGGACAUGUUUGAUAAGGCGUUGCUCUUUCAAGGUGUGAAUCAUGAGUCCGCUGAGUCUAUUUCUCAUCAUGAUUGUUCUAAUGUGGGAAGCAGGCAGCCCAAAGGAUCUAAGUCAGCGCGUUCAAAGAGACAAAAUAAAAAGGAGAAAGUAGUAGAUUUGUGCACAAUGUUAACUCAGUGCGCCCAAGCUGUUGCAAGUUAUGACCAACGAAAUGCUGUUGAACUACUGAAGCAGAUCAGGCAGCACUCUUCUCCCUAUGGUGAUGCAACCCAGAGAUUAGCUCAUUACUUUGCUGAUGGCCUUGAGGUACGCUUAGCUGGCGCUAGAACCCCGUCAUAUUCGCCUAUUGCAAGUAUGCAGAUAUCAACUGUUGAAAUACUGAAAAGCUACCAGAUGUAUGUCACUUCAACCCCUCUCAAGACUGUGCCAAUUUUUUUUGCCAAUAUGACAAUUAUGAAACUAGCAAGAAAAGCGACAAGUCUUCACAUUAUUGAUUUUGGUACUUCUUAUGGUUUCCAAUGGCCCUCUCUAAUCCAAUGUCUUUCAGAGAGAUAUGGUGGACCUCCUAAUCUCCGUAUCACUACGAUUGAGCUUCCCCAACCAGGUUUUAGACCCACGGAGAGGAUUGAAGAGACCGGUCGUCGCUUAGCAAAGUAUUGUGAUAGAUUUAGUGUCCCAUUUGAGUUCCAUGUCAUUGCUCAGAAAUGGGAAACUGUAGGAUUUGAUGAUCUUAAAAUUGACAGAAAUGAGCUGAUUGUGGUCAACUGUCUACACCGGUUGAAGCACGUUCCUGAUGUGACAAUGAUGGGGAAGAGUCCAAGAGAUGCUGUCCUAAAGUUGAUCAGGAAAAUCAAUCCAGAAAUUUUCAUUCAUGGGGUUGUCAAUGGGGCAUAUAAUUCACCCUUCUUUCUCACACGUUUCAAACAGGCACUCUCUCACUUUGAGGCAAUCUUUGAUGUCUUUGAGGCCACCAUUCCUUGUGAGGAUCAACAACGAAUGUUUUUUGAAAGAGCAGGAUAUGGUAGAGACAUAAUGAAUGUAGUGGCAUGUGAGGGACUGGAAAUAGUUGAAAGGCCUGAGACAUAUCAGAAGUGGCAGGUCAGGAAUGUGAGGGCUGGGCUGAAGCAGCUCCCAUUAGACCAGGAGCUGUUGAAGAAGGUGAAGACUAUGUCAAAGUCGAUGGAUUAUCACAGUGAUUUUAGGAUUGAUGAAGAUGAGCAAUGGAUGCUGCAGGGUUGGAAAGGAAGAGUCCUCAUGGCCCUUUCCUUGUGGAAACGCGAGUAGGAGUUUCACAAUCUGGAUUCAUUGUUGGUUCUCAAUUUUUGCUGUAAUCUUUCACAUAUAAAAUGGUCCUGUAUAUGAUACUGUUGUCAUGGUUUAAUGAGUUCAUUGUUAAUAUUCACUCAUUCAUCUCUGUCAAAUGGAGCUGAUAUAAGAUCAGUGUCAUUCAAUUUCAAACUAAGCUUGAUAUCAGGGUGGCUUCUGGACAAACACAUUCUUUGUUGGCAAGUAAUCUGUGAUUUUGGUAUUUCCACCUGUUCAGGUGGGUGAUCAAUGACCCACCUAAACAAGUUCUCUGUUAUCUAUGAUCAGUGUAACAGGUGGUUUCUGUUUUUGCUUCACUAUGUUAGUUGUGAAAUUUUUCUUGUAUAAACUCACUGGCCAUUUCCUGACAUCUGCACAGAAAAAAAAAAAAGAAGGGAAAUUGUAACUUCUUAUAACAUAAAAAGAGGCAGAAGAAGUGAAGAACAAACAUUAAUUUCUGAGGUAGGAGCUAAGGAAAACUAAUGUGUUUGAUUCAAGUCUUGGUGAUUAUAAAGACUGUAAGGUUUGUAUUGUUAAUAUACGAAGGGUCUAAAUUUGGAAGCAGAACAACCCACAAGUUUAAUUGAUUGAGUUAGAAUUUGAAUCAAGGUGUAUAGAAUUGGUUUUGAGUUGCAUAGUUUCACACCAGCAACUUUUCAUGCCAACAUCAGUCGUUGGAUCUAAAUAAUAUAAUUAGGUUCCAAAGAUGAAGCAGUGUACUUUGUUCUAAUCCAAAGUCCUAUCCGAAGAGCCAAGACAAAUUCAUGUAUGUAUGUAACCCUUGAGCUAUUAUGGUCAAAUGAUUAUACUUGUUCAUAUGAUAAUGUUGAGUAAUAUUUUCUCAUUUGAAAACUAUAUUUGACUGAAGGUUUAUAUGUCUUGCCUUGUAUUAAAGAGAAGAGUAUCCUCCAAGUCUCCAACUAAUGCCAUUAGUCCAUGACUAACAUAAAACUCUUAAUUUGACACGCAACUAUGGAAAGGUGAUUGCGGUCCGUUAGUCAAACGGAGGAAUUCCAUCAGCAUCAUUUCUUUUUGGCAAAGAGCAGCGUACAAAAUCACUUAGAUCUCAUCUCACAUGUGAUGUCUAACUUUUAUAGCAAUAUCAUAGGUUUCAAAAUAGAUGUAACAUGGUGGUCAAAAAAGUUGUAUAUCAUUUGUCCGUAAUUUGAUAUUAGUAGAGCAUGUUUAGCAAUGUUAAUCAUUUUGUAGUCAUAUUUUAUCUAAGAAGCUAUGCAUCCACAUAGUUAUCUCUAUUCGUCCAUAAGUAGGAUUUUUCAUGGCUCAUUACCUCACUCUAUUGUUCAACCUCUUAAUUUAAAGUUUUUAUACCAAAAAGUCUUUUAUGCAAUGUAAGUGGCUAGUUUUUAUUAUUGUUCUUAUAAUAUAAAGUCUUCUAUGCACCGAGAGUCGUGAGCAUGUCUUCAAUCUUUGGGCCUUUGUUGGUGGGCGUAUACCAUAUUUUAUGUAAAUUUAAUAUUUUGUUCCAACUCAUGGUAAAGUUAAGUAUAUAUUUAUACCAGGUUCUGUUCUAAUAUGUUGAUAUAUUUAUUAUGAUCAUUAAGACUAACCCCCCCCCCCCCCCCCCCCCAAAAAAACCCCAAUUAUUAUAAAGCAAACAGAGUAUUUGAUAUGGAUAUAUGUGUAUCGUAAUAUGGAUGCAAAUUUACCGACCCCCCUAAUGCCCACCUACUCUUAUGUCAUGUGUCUUUUUGGUUAGUAAUAUAAAAUUAUAAUAGAUGCAUUCCAUUGUCAUUUUACUUGUAACUUUAAUUCUUUCAAAAUUAAUCUUUUUUAUUUGUUUAAGUUGAUCUCAAAAAGUCUUUUUCAUUUAUUACCCACGCAGGUUUUUGCUUUAGUUUUCAGAACACCCAAGCUCAUCUUAACUUCUUAAGCCUCAAAUCUAACGAAAGUGAAUUUUCAAGUGCAGAAAGUAGUUUAAGGAAAGCCUACAUGAUUAUCCUUUUGAAACAGCACCCCCGUAAGGAUAUAAUCAUAAUGUGGGUUAGGAGUUUGGGCAUCCAAUUACUUUGGCCAUCCCUAAAGUCUGAGUUAAGGGUCAAUUUUAUUUGAAUUUGGGCACAGUAGCUAGUCGACCUCAAUUUUAAGGUAUACAGUUUUUUUUUUCUUUCGAUUUAUGUAAACUUCUGGGUUUAAUCGGGUUUAGUUUUUUUUUUUUUGGACGAAAAAAGUCUUGGAGUUAUAUUAAUACGAGGAGUCUUCAUAAUUACCUUGUUUUUUUUUUUUUUUCAAAAAGGAGUUAAAGUUAAAAGUAAAAUGAAAACAUAAUGCAUUUUUUAUAAUUGAUAUUACUAACCAUGGUUAGAGAUGGUUAUGAAAAAUGACACAUGACAUAAGAGUAUGUGUGUGGGCAUUAGGGUGGGCAAAUAAGGAUAGUCGGUAAAUUUGCAUUCAUUGUAAUAUGGGGUUUCGGUUUUAUGUCUCCUCUUAUAUAAUCUGUUUAAACAAUAAAGGCAUGAGAGUGGUGGUUGUUGUACUAUAUAUCCUUAUUUCGAAAACAAAUGUAUUUGAUGUAAUUUGACUCUACAUACAUGGGUGCUCUAGAUCUUGUCCUUUUCUCAUAAUCUUGCUCUAAGAAAAAAAAAAUUACAAUUCAACUCUUAACCUUUUUUUUUUUUUUUUUUGUAAAAUGACAUGGUUUUCCAAAAGUUAAAAUAUUUGUAGACUUGACUUUGUCAGUUUAUCACUUUAUCUCGAGUGGCAGAUCAUCUUUUUGUUCUGGUUCUCCUCGCUCCACAAGAUCACCCUGACGUCUAAAACUGAUUGGCAUCCUAUUUGGCAAGACCUUCCCAGAAGCUUCAUUGCUAAGAAAAUUCAAGCUUCUUCUCCCAGCUUCUCAGCUUGACAUGCUUUGAAUAUAUAAACCAAACCUCCAGCCACUCUCAUUUUAGUCAGAGGUAAAGUAAUCUGCAUCCUUUCUUAUCUGAGCUUUACAUUCAGGUUCUGUUUGUUCAUAUCUACCAUUCUUGCAAAUAACCUGUUUGAUGAUUCAACUCAAGUCUGAGUCUUGCUCUCUUUCUGGGUAUCUCAUUUUUCUCUCUUCUUUUUUCCAAAGCUUUAAUCUUUAGUGUUACAGUUUCAUAUCUGAGUUGGGUUUCUUGACAAAUAGAUCUUGAUAGAUUAGUUGUUCCUAUGGAUACCCUUCAUAGAUAUUCUGUUCCAGAGUUCAAAUAUGACCAUGGCCCUGUUUCUGUCUGUCCAAAUCCAAUUGUAAAUGGGUUCAAAGUAAAUCAUGAAUCCACCAAUCCGGUGUUACCUGCAUCCAGAUCUGAGCUGUCUAGUGAUUCAAGUAAUGAGGGCUCAGAGGUAGAUGGUCUUGAUAUCAAUGACUGCAAUCAUCCUGUACUCAAGUACAUAAGUGAUAUUCUUCUAGAAGAAGACUUGGAGGGUAAGCCCUGCAUGUUGCAUGACUGUUUAGCCCUCCAAACUGCUGAGAAGUCUUUCUAUGAUGCCCUUGUUCAGAAGGACCCUCCUUUACCCAACCAACCCUCCUCUAGUUCUGUGCACCAAAGCUCUGAGAGUUCUGAUGAUGAUUCCCCACAGAGUUUCCAAAGCAGUAAUCGCUCCUUUCCUGUCAAGACAGAUUGGGUUUGGGAUCCGGCGUUCUCUCCUGUCCAAUCUUCUCUGUUUGAGUCUUUCUCCAAUACUCUUUUGGUUUCUGAUUCAAUUUCUAAGAUGCAAAGUCUUGGAAAUUUUGGAGGGGUGGGGGAAGCAAGCAAGUUCCUUUCAAAUGCGAAACUUGAAAUGGUUGACUUAGAUAGGUUUCAAUUGAUGCCUCAAGGUCCAGUCUCAUCUGAGUCAGGGGCGGAUGGAUACAGCUUUACAAAUGGAUCAAAGGGAAAGAAGACUCAUCAGAGGGAGGAUAGUCAUUUUCUAGAAGAAGAAGAGAGGAGCAGCAAGCAGUCAGCUGCUACAGGGGAUGACUUUGAGCCACAAGAAUUGUUUGACAAGGUUUUACUUUGUCCUCAUGAAAAUCAUGAGUCUGAGCUUUGUGCAGAUGAUGAGUCUUUUAAAACAGAAGGAAAUGGGAAGUUGCAGCGUAAAAAGCAGCCAAAAGGAUCAAAGGCAAAGCGACAGAAUAACAUUGGUGAAGUGGUAGAUUUGUGCACAAUGCUAACUCAAUGUGCACAAGCUGUGGCAAACUUUGACCAACGAACUGCAAGUGAACUACUCAAGCAGAUAAGGCAGCACUCAACCCCCCAUGGUGAUGCAACCCAGAGAUUAGCUCAUUACUUUGCUGAUGGCCUCCAGACACGCUUGGCUGGUGCCAAAACCCCAUCGUAUUCGCCUCUUGUAAGUGUGCAGAUAUCAGCUGCUGAAAUAUUGAAAGCAUACCAGGUAUUUAUUACAGCUUGCCCUUUCAAGAAGAUGUCACACUUCUUUGCCAACAGAACAAUUAUGAAACUAGCAGAAAAUGCAACAAGGCUUCACAUUAUUGAUUUUGGUAUUUCUUAUGGAUUUCAAUGGCCUUGCCUGAUUCAACGUCUGUCCCAAAGACCUGGUGGACCUCCUAAGCUUCGUAUCACAGCAAUUGAGCUGCCCCAACCAGGUUUUCGACCUACAGAAAGAGUUGAAGAGACCGGACGUCGCUUGGAAAAAUAUGCCAAGAGAUUUGAUGUCCCCUUUGAGUAUAAUGUCAUUGCUCAGAAAUGGGAAACUAUCCGAAUUGAGGACAUCAAAAUUGACAGAAGUGAGUUGAUUGUGGUCAAUUGUAUGCACCGUUUAAGGAACAUACCAGAUGAGACGGUGAUGGUGAACAGUCCAAGAGAUGCUGUCCUUAAGUUGAUAAGGAAAAUUAGUCCAGACCUUUUCAUUCAUGGUGUUGUCAAUGGGACAUAUAAUGCUCCCUUCUUUCUCACACGAUUCAGAGAGGCACUUCUCCACUACUAUACACUGUUUGAUAUGCUGGAGGCGACCAUCUCUCGUGAAGAUGGACAACAGCGGUUUAUGUUUGAGCAAGCAAUAUAUGGUAGAGAUGUAGUUAAUGUCGUAGCGUGUGAGGGACUGGAAAGAGUUGAUAGGCCUGAAACAUACAGACAAUGGCAGGCCAGGAAUGUGAGGGCUGGGUUCAAGCAGCUACCAUUAGACCAGAAGCUGUUGAAGAAAGUGAAGACUAUGUCAAAAGUCAUGUGUUAUCAUGAUGAUUUUAGAGUUGAUGAAGAUGGACAUUGGAUGCUGCAGGGAUGGAAAGGAAGAACCAUCAUGGCUCUUUCUUUUUGGAAGCCUACUUAGGAGUUGGACAUCGCUCUGUCUUUUGUUUUGGGACAAAGUUUGUUCUUGUGUUGUGAACUUUGAUAACUGCUGAAUGAGGUGGUCAUACAUUUCUACUCUUCUCCGUGACUGAGAGAUUGAUCUAGGAUUUAUAAUCUUUUAAAGCAAAGCUUGAGUCAUGCCCUAGUUCAUAUCAGGCUAUCUGCUUCUUCCCAGGCAACAAUCCUGGUUGGUCAGUUAUCCAUAAUUUUGGUAGAACAAGGUACUUUCACGUACUCAGGUGCAGUAGCGGAUUCAUGUUGGAUGGUGUCUCUGGGAAUCUAAUGCUACUUUGCCUCUUAGUAUUCGUAUUUUUUUUGGUUUGUUUGUGGGAUGAUUCUUUUGUAUUCCUCGGUUUACUUAUGGUACAUAUCCAUCUUGUGCCUUUGUAACCUUGUUGAAAGUCUGAUUAUUCUAUCUUUAUUUUUUCUUCGUUUACUCUGUACAAAUUCUGUACAAAAUUUAAUAAACAUUAUACAUUUGUCAUAGAAAAACCAGAUUUGGGGACUGCACCAUUUAUCUAUAACAGUAAUGCCUUUUAGGUUUCAUUUGGAAUUUGAUGUCAAUUGUUUACUUGGAAGCUAAGUUAUCGCGGGGGGAUGUUAUGAAACAAGUUUGAUUCUGUCAUGGUGUCUUGAGAUGAGGAAGACAGAAUGCUAGUCGUAGUUUGUAACUAUAUAGCUUCUUCUUCAGAUUGUUGCUAUUUGUUAUUUUUGGAACAAAUGCGAUGAGACUCAUAUCACUCCAUAUUACUAGAAAAGAUACAGAUAUAAAUCACUAAAAGCUAAUAAGACAAUACAAACAAUCCUGCCCCUGGUUAAAAGAGUGUACUGAAAAAAAAUAUUCAAGUACAAUGAGACUGAAAAUUGUAACUAGUUGUCUAUUGAAAACUCUCAUCAUAGGACAAAAUUAUUCAAAAAAAAGAAAAAAAAAAAAAAGAAAAAAAAAAAAACAAAAGUACAUAACAUUGUGAAACUGAAACGUACGUACUCUAGCCUCUAGGUCAUGGAACCUAGCUAGGCAGGUUUCCAAAAUGAAAGAGCCGUGAAGAUCCGUCCUUUCCAUCCAUGCAGCAUCCAAUCCCCAUCUUCAUCAAUUCUAAAAUCAUUAUGAUAAUCCAUCAACUUCGAAAAUUUCUUUGCUUUCUUCAUCAACUCCUGGUCCAAUGGGAGCUGCUUCAACCCAGCCCUCACAUUCCUGGUCUGCCACUUCUUGUAAGUCUCAGGCCUUUCAACCCUUUCCACUCCCUCGCAUGCUAUGAUAUUCAUUAUGUCUUUACCAUGAAUAUCUCUCUCCAACACCAUCCGACGCUUCUCUUCACGAGGAAUGGUUGCUUCAAAUAUAUCAAAUAUGGUAUAGUAGUGCAAGAGUGCCUCUUUGAACCGUGUGGCAAAGAAGGGUGUAUUGUGUCUCCCAUUGAUAACCCCAUGAAUGAAAAGGUUGGGAUUUAUAUUCUUGAUCAACUUCAGGACAGCAUCUCUCGGAGAGUUCUCCAUCACCGUCUCAUCAUGUAUGUGCCUUAACCGGUGCAGACAAUUCACAACCACCAGCUCAUUUCUGUCAAUUUUCAGAUCCUCACACCGGAUAGUUUCCCAUUUUUGAGCCAUGACAUUGUACUCAAACGGCACAUUGAACUUUGCACAAUACCUUGCUAGGAGGCGCAUGGUCUCUUCGACCCUUUCUGUAGGUCGGAAACCAGGUUGUGGAAGCUCAAUUGCUGUGAUAUGUAACUUAGGUGGUCCGUGAGGUCUUUCAGAGAGAUGUUGGAUAAGGCAGGGCCAUUGGAAACCAUAAGAAAUACCAAAAUCAAUAAUGUGAAGCCUUGUUUCAUUUUUUGCUAGCUUCAUGAUUGUUCUGUUGGCAAGGAAUCGUGAAAUCGUAAUGAAAGGGCAUGUAGAAGCAAAUACCUCGAAAGCUAGUAGGAUUUCAGCGGCUGAUGUGUGCCUACUAAAGAGAGGCGAAAACGAUGGGGUUCUGACACCAGUAAGGCGCGCCUCUAGGCCAUUGGCAAAGUAGUGAGCUAACCUUUGAGUUGCAUGGCCAUCGGGGGAGGAGUGCUGCCUUAUCUUCCUGAGUAGUUCGCUCGCUGUUCCUUGGUCAUAGCUUGCCACGGCUUGUGCACAUUGAUUUAGCAUGGUGGUCAAAUCUACUGCUUCCUCAUCCUUGUUCUGCUGCUUUGAACGAUUUGUUUUAGAUCCUUUUGACUGCCUGUUUUGCUGCAACUUCUCUGUUCCUUCCCUUUUCGUAGAACAAUGAGGCGUACAAGAUCCCCACUCCUCAUGAUGAUCACCUUGACAGAGUAACACCUUAUCAAAUAUUUCUUGAGGCACGGAGUCAUCGGCAGAAACAACUGACUGCUUGCUGCUUCUUCCUUCUUCUGGAUGCUGUUCAUCCUCUCUUUGAUGAUUCUUCUUUCCCUUUAAUCCAUUUGUUUGGUAUCUCUCCUUGUCAUUGAUAUCGAAAUUCCCAUUUGUACGGAACUUGCUUGCCUCUCCAGCCUGUCCAAGACUUUUCAUCUUGAAAAGAGAAUCUGAAACCGUAAGAGUAUCUGAAAAAGACUCGACAAGAGAAGAAUGAAUGGAAUCAUUUUGCGAGUACUCAGAGUUUUGGCAAGGCAGAGGGAGUUGGUUGGAGAAAGGAGGAUCCUUGGGAUACAGGGCAUCGUAGAAGGUUUUUUCAGCAGCUUGGAGAGCCAAACUGUCCUGUAACAUGCAGUUCUUUCCUUCCAGAUCUCCAUCAAGGAGAAUAUCACUUAUGGACUUGAGCGUUGGAUUGUUGAAGUAAUUUAUAUCGAAAGUUGCUUCCUCAGAAUCACUGGGAUGGAUAAGUGUGUUGGUGGAUUCGUGAUGCAUCUGAAACCGGUCGCCAAGAUUUGGAUUGGAAGCUACUGAAGUUAAGGCGUGGCCGAAGCUGGAUCUUUCCAUGGAUAGAACCUUGAAUUUCAAGAAACCCAAGUACAGCACGAGAGCUGAUGAGCAAAGAAGCACAGUGAAGUGAAUAUUAUAUAAUUCACUUGACAGAUAAGAACUGGAACCAAUAAUAGAGUUUCUUUCACUUGAGGAAAAUCAAUAUGAUUAAUGGAGCUGGAGGUGUAUAUACUAGUAUAUAUUUUCACAGAAGUAUGUAGCCUUUUCCAAAUAGAAGCUGGAGAUUGAACUAUUCACAGAGCAAUGGUCCUUAGGGAAAAUCUUGAACUUCAAAAGCAUGUAGUCUUACCAGUCAAAAGCCGCCUUCAAAUAAUUCAAUACAACUGAUGCACAUUGUAGAAUGUAGGAUUGAUGAUGGUAAUGUUUGGCUAAGGUCAGUUGUGGGCAUGUGGCUUUUGAGCUGACUCUUCUGUUUUUCUCAAGUCCUAAAGGAGCAGCUAACCUUGACUUUGUUAUUUGAACAGGACGGGGUCCUCACGUCCUAGACUGUCACACAUCACAUAUAGUGAUAUAACUAGCUAGCAACUUUCAUUCAAAUAUUUCUUUUUUCUUUUAUCUCUAUCGUAUAUGAGAAAAUGCUUCAUUAGCAAAAACAUAAAUUUAACAGAAGCCUAGAGGACCCUUAAGUUAAGGACUUGGUGAAGAUUUUUCGGCUUAUCCCACCUUUCGAUCUUAUAUCCACAUCUUGACCGUUUAAUUUAUAGGUAUUUAUGAGUAGAUCAUUUCUUCAAAUUUUCAGCUAUAUUGAAAAUUGUUAAGACAUUUAUGUGUGAUUUAUCAAUUAUGAACUUGAACGGUUCAUAUUUGACAGAUUUGGUUCGUCCAUUAAUUUGAUCUAGUUUGUUAUCUUAACGAACACCAAUUUAGGUGAAAAUUUGUAAAAAUGAUCUACUCAUAGAAACCUAAAAACUGAACGGAUGAGAUGUCAAAAUAUGAUCGAAAAUUGGGUCUUUUAAACCAUAAACUGAAAAGUCAUCAACUAGUCCUUAACUUAAGAGUUCUCAUUAGAAUGGCUCCCUAAAUUUAACUAUAUACAUUUGUUGGUUAACUGUUCAUAAGCAUGUGAACAGUGUUUUCACACUGUUCACUAACAACAGUGAACUUUUUUUUUUGGUUCUGAAACAGGUAAUUUAGAUUUUUUUAGAUAGGCUCUCUCUCGGUAAAGAAUUUUUUGCCCUCCAUUUUUGACUUUUCUUCUGCCUCCUGAAUCUUCCGGAUCGAUCUUACCUCUUCAGACCUCCUUUAUUUUUAUUUCUCCCGUCUCUCUGUCUUUGCAUCUCAGAGAAUAUCAUCAUUUCGUUCCAUCUCUUUCACUAUUGUUCCGUUUUGUGCCUAUAUACUAUUGUUUGGUUAACUGUUCAUAAGCACUAUGAAUAGUGUGUGGACCUUUUUACCCUGCUGAUGAGCUGUGUAAUUUCGUAUUUACCCUUCGUUUCAACUCUAGGUAUAAUUUUUUAUUUUUUUCUGCCGUUUCUCGCUCUCUCUCUCUCGCCCAACAUUUCUCCAUCUUUCUCACACUCUCUAGACUUUUCUCAAAAUAGCUUCAACAUUUCUCACAAAACAGAAGAAUCUAGAUAUAUUAAUAUAUCACCGUGAUAAUUUAUUACCUUGUUGUUUCACGGAACUAUUUUUGUCAUUUUCUCUUCUGCUUUGUUUGUAUACGUACAAAUCAAAACAAUUGGAGCAUUUAUAUUUUGGGUAGAACACAAGACUAGAUAUUUUGUUGUAUAAAUGUUAUUUUUAUGAUAGCUCUUAUACAUGUAGAAUAUGCAUAAUGUAGAUAUUACACCGCGCCAAGACGCGGGUAUCAACUCUAGUUGUUCUACAUAUAUAUGUGCACAGUUCCGAUGCAUCAACACCAGGCAAGCUUCAACAGCAUCAAGUUCCUCUUAUUUUAGCUUUUAGUUUUCUUUUAGCAGGUGCAUACGAUCAUUACGAUGAAGUAGAGCUAGAGACUUGCUUGUUUCGUGUAAUAUAUGCUUCCAGAGGGUAAGGAGUGCCAAUCUUAUAAAGUUAUAGUUUAGGGUAUUUAGUGUAAUGUGAAUUGAACCAGCUAGCUAGGAGUUUCAUGUAUAGGAAAGAGAAAAUGCCAAUUUAAUACUAAUUUUAGCUCUUCAUUGUCUAUUUCAAUGACAAUCUUUUUUAUGAGCUCAUUUGAAUAUAAGGUACCUCUAUUUGUGCCCAAAUGAACAAACAAAUGAACAAAUGAACAGAUCUUUACUUAAAGUUUUAACAAACAAUAUUAUUUUAGGACUAUUUUGCCCUCACCACUUACAUGCAUAGAGAGAGAAAAUGGAAGAGAAAGAAGAUUUGGUCGGAACCUCACCGGACUCCGGACUCCAGUCACCGGCCGCGAGACUUCGGUCACCGGCCGCCGAAAUUUCAUCGGAUUUUUUUAAAUGUCACCGGAAUCUCGUCGGAUUUUUUUAUAUUUAUAAAAUAUCACUGGACCUUGCCGGAAGUAUACUGCACCAUCGCUAAAGUUUAAUUAAGGGGCAGUAAUGAUGAAAAAUGUUUUACUGAGGGCAAUAAACUUCUACUAAGAUUUUACUAGAAGGCAGUAAACUUUUACUGAGGUCAAUAAAACCUUAUUUAAGGGAAAUAAUGAUGAAAAUUGUUUUACUGGGAGGGGCAGUGAACUUCUACUAAGGGAGCUAAGGGAGCAGAGUUUACUGAGAUUUUACUGGGGAGUAAUAAACUUCUACUGAGGUCAAUAAAACCUUAUUUAGGGGCAGUAAUGAUGGAAAAUGUUGUAUUGGGGGGGGAGGCAAUGAACUUCUAUUGAGGGAGCAGAGUUUACUGAGAUUUUACUGGGCGGCAGUAAACUUAUAAUAAACAAUUUAGGGUUUACUAUAGCCUCAAAUAUCAUAAAUUGGAGUAGAAAGAAGAUGCAAUGCUGACCCUAGACUAACUCGACGCCGACUGUGCAAGAUUGGAGUUUAGAUUUGGCACAGAUCUGGACUACUGAAGAGUGACGCUACCGACCUCGGAAUGAUCAGCCUCAACCUUGGAUCUUUACUCCUUGACUAGCGAUGCUGCCGAUCUGACGUUGUCGUCUUCUCUUGAUCACACAAACGUCUUUGCUUUUGCCUUCUGGAACUCGGUGGCUUGGACAUCGGAUUUUCUCCUCAAGGCUCAGAGGUAGCUCACCGAUGACGAUGUGAAGCAUGUAUGGAGAUCACUGAGCCUUGCUGUUGUCGCCGGCGCUGAUGUUUGCCAUCCAACGCGAGACGACGUCCUUUAACACCGACAUAGGUGGCGCCGAAAUCGAUCUCCAAUCUAGAUUUGACGGAGAGAGAGAGUUGAGCUCCGAUCUGGAGUUGGGGAGAGAGAGAGAGAGAGAGAGAGAGAGAGAGAGAGAGAGAGAGAGAGAGAGAGAGAGAGAGAGAGAGAGAGAGAGAGAGAGAGAGAGAGAGAGAGAGAGAGAGAGAGAGUUUAGAUCAGGAGAGGUGAGAGAUAAUUUAGAUAGGGGAAGAGGUGAGAGAGAUAUUAUAUAAGGGUAAAAUAGUCUUUUACGUAAGAUUAAUUGGAAUGGGCUUUUGACUUCUUUUUUUUUCAUUGGAUUGGGGUCUGACUUUGUUAUUUUUGUGCAAAUGAGCAUUUUCCCUAUAGAAAAUAACAUCCCACUAUCCUAAAUAGUUACAUAAAAUAGAAAAACCACAUUUCAACAUAUUUAAACAAAUAAGGACAUAAGCCCAGGCCCAGUGCAUCGUGUCACGCCCUGUCAGCAAUUUUUUUACGCAAAAUACCUAAAAAACCAAUCUUUUCUGAAAUAUCUACAAAACUGCCACUGUUUCAACCAAAAAUAUCUUCUCUCUUUUUCUCUGAUCUGUGAGACCCUGUAAAGUUAUGGCUAUAUGAAAGUGAAGUUCCUAUAACUUCUAGUAAACAAUUUCCGUUGUGGACAUAUAAUACUCGAUUCUAUUUGGGCUCGAAGGUUUUUAUUUUCGAAGUGGGCUUGGAACAGCCCAAUCCACUUUGGGUCACAUGUUUGAGCCUAAGGAGGGCAACAUUGUAAUUUUAUAUAGAUGAGCUAUAAAUUGAUAAGCUUUGAAUCCUUUAAUCAUAGUGACCAGAAGCUUCUCCCGUUUUCUCUCCCUCUCUCAUGAAGACACGAACACUAACUCCCGAUCUUGGUCACCCUCUUUCUCUCUUCCUCUCUUGUAUCGUUUAUGUCAUUAACAAGAUGACGAGGCUACUAUAUAGUUCAUGGUUUGACGCCAACCGUCAGCUCAAGGCUAUGGCAGCGACGGAGCACGGCAAACAUGCUACACACAGUAGAGCCCCUAUAUGCAAAUAUCCAUCUAUUCUUAUUUUUCUAUGAAUCGAUGGUCUAGUCCUCAUUUGUUGACCUUGCUGCAGAAGACCAUGCCGCUUGGAGUUGUGAGGUAAUUGUGAACCUAUUUAGUGCUUAAGGUUUGAUUAUUAAAGAAACAAGUUUGAUUGAUAAUGGAUUUUGGUUUUGUCUUUUGGUUUCUGGUGAUGAUGUAAACUGGAAUUGAUAUGGGUCAUGAGUUCCUUGGAUUGAGAAGCAAGACAAGGAACAGAAGAAGAAAGGUACCUUUUGAUUGAAUGAAUGAAAUUGAGAGAGAGACCAUAACAAUGGUAAGUCCGUAUCUUUUGAUUGGAAUUGGUUCCAUAAGCAAUUGAUUCAAUCGUUGAUUAUUUUGUUUUUAAUGAAAACAGAAGAAGGUUCGAGUUCUCAAUCUAGAACAAGACUACAUGCUUUGAUACAAUAGACAUCCUAUUGAAAAUUGAAGUGAGAGUCUUGUUGCAUGUUCUUCAAAUAUAAAGGUUUUGUUUAUAUUGAAUUAUGGUGGUAUGGUCUUGGUCAUGAGUUAAAGUAAAUAUUGUUCUACAAUUUCUUUUGGACGCAAGUGAAUUAUGGAUGUGAGAUUAGCCAUAUAAAUAUAUGGUAUAUUUAGAUUACAGAGUCUAUUGUGAAUUGGUGAUCACGUUAUGAGGUACCAAAUUGGGUUAAGUUUCCAUUUGAAUUUUGUAACAGAUUUGGUUAUGUUGUGAAUCUUGAAUGGUUAAGUUAAUGGAAAUCAAUUUGGCUCAUGCGAGCUUGUAUAAUUUUUCUAAGGGUCUUUGCUAAUAAUUCUGUAGUUGAUAAAUGGGUUUGAAGUUAAGGAUAAUGCCUUUACUUAUAAAGGUUUACCAUACUGAUUGAGAAUAAAGUUUGUUGUGGACAAAGAAAUAGAUUGGGUUCAAAUCAAAUGCUCAUUUGAGCUAGAGAUAAAGAAUGAUUUAAGUAUGCCAUUAUUGGUUGGCUUAGUGUGUUGUACUAAGCUUGGUCUUCAUAACUAGCUACUGUUGGCUAUCACCUUAUAUGAUCAUUAUGAGAUACAGAACAUGUGAUCUUGCUAAGUUUUUGAAAAGAGUUCCUAAUUGAUGUUUAAGGAACUACUAUUUAAAAUGUCAGACAGAGCUCUGGAUCUCGAGUUUUCGAGUAUGGUGGUCUUUGCCGAGUGUUGUGGAGUAAAGGUUCACACUCCAGGAAUACCAGGUAGGGGAUUCUAGACUCUUUUUGGCUAGUGGUUUUCGUAUAUUAUAUAUGAAAAGUGAUUGCAUGCAUGGUUGUGAUUGAUUUAUUAUGAAGAUUUGAUAUUGUAUUGCCAUGCUUGUUUUCAAUCGUUUUCGAUAUUGUGUGAUGACCUGAGAGUGAGCGGGGCAUAGCGACUUCCUUGGGUUUCGAUCUCCUAAACCUCCGGAGGGGCUGUACGGACUGGAGGGCGUCUAACAUCCUUUGUGGUGUGGCGUUGCUCCUAGGCGGUAUGGCGUAAAUGGACACUCUCGCUACUCCUUGCCAGUUCUGACAUCAGUUUUGGUAAGGAGGUAGUUGGCAUAGGGACCGGUCAUCAGGUUUGUGUAUCUGGGCCCGCAGAUGUUUUUCGAAAUGAAACUUAUUGAAAUUUACAUUUUAUGAUUUGCUCACACUACCAGAAGAAAGGUUUUAGCCGACGAAAAUAAAAAAACCAGGCCGACUAAUUAUUUUUUCGUCGGCUAAAGUCCACUUUAGCCGAUGAAAUUUCCCUUCGUCGGCUAAUUUAAAAUUUUCAUCGGCUAUGGUCAACUUUAGCCGACGAAAUUAAAAUUUCGUCGUCUGAAUAAUUUUUUUCGUUGGCUAUAGUCUGUGAACUUUAGCCGACGAAAUUUUUAAAAGUUUAGCCGACGAAAUUUUUAAAAGUUUAGCCGACGAAAAAUACAAUUUCGUCGGCUAAAGUGCCUUAUAUUUGCAGAUCUGGACAACAACUCAUAUGGAAAAAAAAACUAUACGUAGAACCUUCAAACGCAAAAAAUUAGUGAAAUAAGAUAUGACCAGAAUGGUGAAAUACGUCUACGGUUGAAAAAUCACGGUAUUCCGGUAAAGUCUCGGUGCCGAUAGUUGCGGUCAAUGCAAUUUACCCUUAUUAUUCACUAUGCUGCAGAUUUGGUUUUUGGUGUCCGAUUGACUAUUGUGAUACCUUUCCGGAAGCAUAACGGCUCUACGAGUCAAACUCAUGGCUUGUGCCAUGAUGUAUGGGCCUUUUUGGCCAUCCGAGUCCGUUUAGGGCUUCAAAAUGCAGUUUUCUUAUUUCCGAUUAGAGUUGACCGUUUCGAUCGAGCCCUUAACGUUGUCGAAUCCAGUUGAAUUUUUUACCAUAGACAUCUUUCGUCAUAAUGAUCAUAUCUGACAGUCGAAUUUUGGUUUGUAAAUUUUAGUCAUCGGAAUCACAACGUGUCUACUAUUUACCGUUAUUAUUCCCUAUGGGGAGCCCUAUCGUCGGAAGGUAAAUGUCUCAAAAUUUUUAUAUGGGCAGUUGCGUCUCAUCUACGUGAGAGUUUUUUGUGUGGACUACAUAAUAUAGAGGGAGAUAUUAACGUUUCGGUGUGAUAAGUGACAAUCGAUUAGGGUUGACCAUUUCGAUCGAGCCCUUAACGUUGUCGGAUCCAGUUGAAUUUUUUACCAUAGACAUCUUUCGUCAUAAUGAUCAUAUCUGACGGUCGAAUUUUAGUUUGUGAAUUUUAGUCAUCGGAAUCACAACGUGUCUACUAAUGUUGUAUAACUUGUUUAGUAGGUUAUACAACUUUGCGAAUCAACUCUACAUAUGAAGCAAAAUUAUCAAAAAUCUCGUGAAAUAAGAUGUGUUCAGAAUGGUGAAAUACGGCUAUGGUUCAAAAAUCACGUAAAUCGGGUAAAGUCUCGGUGCCGAUAGUAGCGGUCAACUCUAUUUACCGUUAUUAUUCCCUAUGGGGAGCCCUCUCGUCGGAAGGUAAAUGUCUCAAAAUUUUUAUAUAGGCGGUUGCGUCUCAUCUACAUGAAAGUUUUUCGUGUGUAAGGUUUGACCAAACUACGUAAUAUAGAGGCAGAUAUGAGCGUUUUCAUGAAUUUAUAGACUUUAGCCGACGAGAUAUUAAAAAAGUCGUCGGCUCAGGUCAAAAAUUUUGGGGGGGGUAAAAAUUUUCAAAGGACUUUAGCCGACGAAAUCAUAUAUGAUUUCGUCGGCUAAAGUCGAAAAAUUUCAAAAUUUUCAACCAAAAUUUUUUUGCGGUCAACCAAAAUUUUCAAAAGAGUUUAGCCGACGAAAAUAAAUAAUUUCGUCGGGUAAAGUUCUUUAUAUAGGAGUUUUACCGGAGGUGGAUGGUAAGAAGUCUGUUUCGUCUGCCGGAUUUUCUUCUCGGCCUAGCUCCGCCGUCAAGCCACCUGAGACGGCCACACUUGUCCCAAAAGCUUCACCGUCGUCUCUACUUCAUUGCUGGACAGGUGGUGCAUCGAGUGUCGCCGCCGUAAGGGAUAAAUCGAGCUCCAAAACUCCGCCGGUUUGGAUUCGGUGUCGAUCGAAUUUCUCCUUCCUCAGGUCACCAUUUGGUGAGUUCUAUAUAUGGAUAAGUUGAGUUUGAUUAGUACUACAUUCCCUUAGAAUUUGGUAGCUCGAGUCGGUGUGUGUGAGGAGAAUCGAAGAUUUGAAGUUUUUAGGGUUUAAAAUUGGGGAUUUUUAUAUUUUGAUUCAAUUGACCUGUUUACGCUUAGAAUUGAGCUUCGACUUCUUCUAGAAAGUUGUUCGAAAUGUUGAGAGGAAGAUGCUGUCAAAUUUUGGUGGUGAUUGGAGGUGGCCGAAAGUUUCUGCAGUUUUUNNNNNNNNNNNNNNNNNNNNNNNNNNNNNNNNNNNNNNNNNNNNNNNNNNAGUUGAAUGCAGUUGUGAAGUGUGUGAGAAGUGAUAGGGGUGGUGAGUAUUAUGGGAGAUACACCAAAACUGGUCAGCAUAAGGGACCAUUUGCUUCGUUUUUAGAAGAGAAUGGGAUUAUAGCACAAUAUACCACACCUGAACCCCUGAGCAAAAUGGAGUUGCAGAGAGAAGAAAUAGAACCUUUAUGAACAUGGUGAGGAGCAUGAUGUGCACCUCAGGUCUCCCACAUUUUCUUUGGGGUGAGGCACUUAAAACAGCCAAUUAUUUGACUAAUAGAACCCCAUCCAAAUCUGUGUCUGCAACCAAAACCCCAUUUGAAUUAUGGAAGAAUAGAAAGCCUAGCAUUUAUCACACACAUGUUUGGGGUUAUAAGGCCGAAGCUAGGCCUUAUAAUCCAAACGAGAGCAAGCUAGAUCCUAAAACAGUGUCUGCAUCUUUUAUUGGCUACUGUGAGCAUUCCAAAGGCUACAAGUUCUACUGUCCCACACACUCCCACAGAAUCAUGGAGACAAAUAAGGCAGUGUUCCUAAAUGAAACCAAUUAUUCUCAUUCUUUUGAGGAUUUUAUUUUUGAGGAGCUUACUGAAAAUGUUUCUAAUGCCGUCACUUCACCACAACCUCAACCUGUAAUUUUAGAAACCACACCAGUUGUUUUCAGUGGGAUUGAUGCACCUGCACCUAUCCAUGAUCCUCCCGCACAUGAGAUUGAUGCACCUACCACUAUCCCAAAUCCUCCACCACCACCAGUAAUUAGAAGAUCACAGAGAGAAAGAAGAUCAAGACUUGAAGCAAUGGCUACUGAUUUUCAGGUGUAUGAUGUUGAGGUAGAUUAUGAUGCUGGUGAGAUUGAAGACUCCAAAACCUUCAAAGAAGCCAUUGCUGGAGAUCAUUCACAUGAGUGGGAGAAAGCUAUGAUUUCAUAAAUGAAAUCUAUGCAUGUGAAUGAUGUCUGGGAACUGGUUGAGCCUUCAAAGUCGCAGAAAGCAAUUGGCUGCAAGUGGGUGUACAAGACCAAGCUACAUGUAGAUGGAAGCAUAGAGAGGUACAAGGCAAGGCUAGUAGCAAAGGGUUUUACACAGAAAGAAGGUGUGGACUACACUGCCGCCAAUUGCUUUCAGAGCUAUCAUGGCUAUGGUUGCUCAUUAUGACAUGGAGCUGCACCAAAUGGAUGUAAAGACAGCUUUUCUGAAUGGAGAGUUGAGUGAAGAGAUCUUUAUGAAGCAGCCCGAGGGAUUUAUUGAACCUGGGAAGGAGCAUCUAGUUUGUAAGCUUAACAGGUCCAUAUAUGGAUUGAAACAAGCUUCAAGACAGUGGUAUUUGAAGUUUGAUUCAGUCAUCAGUGGUUUUGGAUUCAAGGAGAAUCAAGUUGAUGAGUGUGUUUACAUGAAAUCAGAAGGUAAAAAUUUUAUUUUCUUGAUUUUAUAUGUAGAUGACAUCAUAUUGGCUAGUACAAAUUUAGACUUGCUGAAAGAGACUAAGUCUUUCUUGUCAAAGAAAUUCGACAUGAAGGAUUUAGGUGAGGCUAAGUAUGUACUGGGGAUAGAGAUAAAGAGAGAUAGAUCGAGGUUCCUACUUGGUUUAUCACAGCAGAGCUACAUCAACANNNNNNNNNNNNNNNNNNNNNNNNNNNNNNNNNNNNNNNNNNNNNNNNNNUUUUAUUACAGACUUUAGCCGACGAAUAUCUUAAUUGUUUCGUCGGCUAAAGUCUGUAAUAAAAACCGACGACAUGUUUUUCGUCGGCUAAACUGUGGAACUAUAGCCAACGAAAUUUUUUUUUCGUCGGCUAAGUCAUCGCCGACGACCUUUUCCCGACGAAAUCUUAGCCGACGAUGGCUCGUCGGCUAAGAUCUUAGCCGACAAAUUAAGCUAACAGGCCGACGAAACUUUUUCGUCGGCUAAAGUGCUUGUCCUGGUAGUGUCAUCAUCUAUAUUUAUAUUUGUUUUCACAUACUGGCCAAUAAAUUAAAUAGUUUUCAAACCUAGUUGGUUGAGUCUUAUUGAGCAGCGAGGACGAAAGCUCACCUCUACUGCUCUACAACAGUUAUGGAUGCAGGUACUGUGCACAAGACGGGAUUGAGCUGUAUUGAGCUGAUCGAGUGUGCAUAUUUGGUUAAAGUUAAAUGUCCUUAUCGAAUUUGUUAUUGUACGUUAGGUUUCCAUUUUAUAUUCUGAUUACUUGGUACAUUUCUUUGUGUUUUAUUUGAAAACCAUGUCGAAGUUGUUUGCUUUGUCAACUACUUUAUUCUAUUUUCUUAUCAUCGUUACCUGUACUAACAAGGAAAUAUGUUUUAGUUGAUCCUGGCUACGUUUUACUGCAGUAGUUAUUUCACAUUAGUUUUGCCUUAUGCUUUAUAGCUUGAUUCAAAAGAAGUAAAUCUGUUUUAUUAUAAUGUUUUACACCUCAUUUAUGUAACGCUUUCGACUUUAACUUUGAUUUUCAAUUUAUAAAAGUUUUAGUUAGUUUAAUUAAAAUGUCUUACGGGUUCUUAGGGCUUGAGUGAUGGGCCCUAGCUUAGGUUCUAAGAGAACACGACACUGUAAUGUGCUCGAUUUGACAGGGUGUUACAUGAUCUGUCAUACUCUCUCUCUCUCUNNNNNNNNNNNNNNNNNNNNNNNNNNNNNNNNNNNNNNNNNNNNNNNCUCUCUCUCUCUCUCUCUCUACUCUCUCUCUACUCUCUCUCUCUCUCUCUCUCUCUCUCUCUCUCUCUCUCUCUCUCUCUCUCUCUCUCUCUCUCUCUCUCUCUCUCUCUCUCUCUCUCUCUCCACCACACGACGUCGAUCGACCUCACUGAUCGACUCCGCUGCCUGCUAGAUUGACUCCGCCGGUGCUAGAUUGACCUCGUCGAUCGACUUUGUCGUUGCUAGAUCGACCUCGCCACUCGAUCGACGCCGCUGUCUACACCCUUGAAAUCAUCAAGUUCUAAUCGCUCCAGUUGAUCGAUUUUAGCAUUUGGUUUCAUCAUCGGGAGGGGAUGUUGCAAGCUCGGCUUCAUUGUUGAAUCAAAGCUGUCAUAAUUGGUUUAAGCGUCCAGAUCUGACGACGACGAGUUGGUUUGUAUUAAUAUGUGGAAAGUUGAGGCUGCCGAUUAACAAGACGGCUGCCGAUUAGCUAACAUACCCGAGUGAUCAAGAAAAUGCAACUAGCAUAAACUUUUAUGGCCAUGAAAUCCUCUUGUCCAAAAUUGUGAACCUAUUUAGGCAUGUCUCGACAAAUAUGGCAGGUAGACGAUGGCAUGCUUAUAAAUGUGUAGCUCCAAAAAUUUUCAACCUCACAAAUGCUUGCCUCAUGAUAGAACUAUUUUAGCAAGUAAUAAAAUGGAUUUCAUACCUUUAUGGGCUGCAUAUGCUCGUCUCCAUGUCCACAAUCAAGGAGUCAUCAAUCAAGAUUGCACCAGUUGUGAAACUUUUGUCUCUUGCAAGCUCUUUGUCCUCAAUGCAAUGCCAUGCAUCUUGCAACGCCAAAUUCUUCAUUCUAUCUAAUUUUCGGCCAUUUUGCUUUCACAUGGCCGUAAAUAGAUUUGCUCCUCUUCACCUUUUUUUUUGUGAAAGUAAAGCAAGAGAAAAAAUAAAAUAAAAUAAAAUAAAAAAUUAUUCCAACUCUCUAGGAGGAGGCCAACGAUGCUUUAUUGCAAAUUUUGAAAUUUCUUUGCUUCCAUCCUUUGGUUCAAGAUCUUGCAUGCCAUGUAGCAUCAUGUUUGGGUCCUUUAUAGUAUGUUCUUGAUAUUCGGCCAUUAUGUAGGCCGAAUUUUGAAGCUCAUAUGCACUUGGAGUAUCAGUUUCAGCUUUUAUUUUAAAUUUAGCCGAUUGUGAUUUUUCUAAGUCGGCUUUAUUUCUGACAAUCAUGUCAAAGUGGAUAAGCUCCUCACUUAAAUAAUCAACUUUCUGCUGUUGUGUUAACCCUGUGAGUAGAUCGAAGCCAUGAAUUGGUUCGUCAUCUUCAUAGUUAUCAUAAAUGGGCUCAACGUUGAAAUCAAACAUAGGCUCAGUAUCUAGAGAAUAAUCAAUCUCAUUGUCAAAGAUCGAGGGAUCAAAAACUUCUUUUUCACAAGAUAAUCCUAAUUCAGAUUUUUCCUUCUCAAAUAUAGGCAUGUUUUUAUUAUUACCUACAUCUCUAUAGUCAACCAUGUUACCUUCGAGUGACGUUGAUGAUAGCCUUGUUUCUUCCACAAGAGAAGGUGAUGAUAGAGAAGUCCAAUUAGCUUCGUGUUCUUGACAGCUUUUCAUUGAUCUUGUCUCAUCUUCUUGGUAUUCCAAAGUUGGACCCUCAUAAGAAAAAUCUCUUGCAUGUUGGCUAAUAAAGCCAUCAAAAUCGUAUUUUUCAUCAGCUAUUUCACUUGAUGCGUUGUUGUCCAAAUUGCUGGAAUUUCCAUCAAAAAACUGCAUGAGAUGUCGAUGAGCAAUCUUUUGUUUUGAUUGGCUUUCAUGUUGUGGAGCCCAAGUUGAAGCUGUUUGGUAAUUCCAUAAAUAUCGGCUAUCAUAACCGUUACAAUUAUUAUAUGCACCAAUGAGGUAAUUAGAGUCAUAAUUGUAAUGACUAAGAUGAUGAUGAUCACCAUAAUAAUUUUCCAAGCCAUAUUGAGAUUGCGUUGUGGGUAUUUACGAAUUCCACGAGGCAUGGCUAUUCAAAUCGACAAAACUUGUGAACGCAGCAUAGCUGUAUCUCCCAUUGGCACCAUAAAUUGAACUUGAGCCGUUUAAAUUCGGCUCAUUGAAAUUCAUUUGUGAAAACACCUAAUGCAUGUGGGGUCCCACUGGGCGUGCCAAAAGAUGUUGGCUCAAAAAUCGUCUCGGCCACUUGUCAAUGGGCCAAGGGAUUCUCUGGGCUACACGUGUCCUUCUGGCUUGGUGAUGUGUGCGAUGGCAUGCCAACUCCCACUUAAAUUCAGUUUCUUUUUGCAGUAUCUUCUAAAUCUAUUAAAUCAUGCAAAAGAUGUUCUCCACUUUGCUAUGAAUUCUCUUUCUCUCGAUCAUAUGCGUCAAAGAUGAUUACCACGGGAUAGUAACCGCUCCCGAAUUUUAUUUCGAUUUUGGAUUUGUUAUGAUUAAUUGUACUAUCAUUGUUCUGUUUGGUUGAUCAUAGAUGAUCCUUGAAUCCAUCUUUCCCAUGUCAUGUGAGCUACGAUAUGGUUAUUUUUAUAUUCAUUAGAAUCUAACGAUUGUUGGGGUGUGUUUUUACUGUGUAUUACUCUCACAUGUUUUAUAGACUGCAUAAGACGUUCUUCUCGCGUAAGAAGGGAUAAAUGUGGAACAAGCAGUUCAUUCAUCCAUAUUCAGUAGCAGUUGAUCUAGCCCAGAAGUCGGAGAAGUGGAGACUAAAACAUACACAGGUUUGCACACGGCUCCAUCGAUAUUCAUCCCUCGCUGAAUUUAAGAUUCAUUUUAGGUCAGACUUCAUUGAUGAGAACUGGGUUAAUGUGUUCUUGGUUUUACAAUUGCAAAACUGCUAUCUACUGUAGGUUUUUUUUUUCCUGAAUUUUGCAGGUAUGUGAAAGAGAUGAUUAACUUCUUUUCUCCAGGUAACUUUUCUUCUCCUUUUCUCUUCUCCUUCUCCGUCAAAUUUUGUUUCCCAUAUUUACAGUUUUAUUUUGUUUUAUUUUGUUUAUUUGUAGAAUCAAAAAUACGAUAUCCAUUAGUUUGGUUCUUUUUUUACUUUUGAAACGGUUGCUCUUCCGAACAGAUCCCAAAUAUUGCAAUUGUGGUGAAACUUUCGAUAAUGAACAGAUUCAUGUUAUUUUUUUAAUAUAAAAAAAGAAAGAAACAGAUUCAUGUAUUUAUGCAUGCAUGAUUGCUCUACAAAGUACAAAUUUUUUUCUUUCCUCCAUGAUUACUGUAAAUUUUAUAUGCAUCUUAUAAACGUCUUGGUCGGUUCAUCAAGGGCUACUUUGGUUUGUCUUCCGUUGCCUAAAGAAUACUCAUAUAUAUCAGAAUUGUUUGGUUUGUUUUGUAGACUAUGUUUUCAAAACGUGCAUGUUAAUCGAUCACCAAGUAACUUAUAAUCGCCGAAGAUGAGAAAGAGAGAGAGGGAGGAGAGGUAAAGAUGUUUGUUUUUCUUAAAGCAUUUACUAUGGAGGCAAUGCAUCAUUAUAAAAUCCAUAAGAUUAAAACCAAGAUCAUUUAUUUUAAAGACUAUUCAAUUUGCAGAAGUCGAAGAAAACUAUGACUACAACCUUGAAGCCAAAUGAAGAUAGGGGAACAUGGAGAACAGAGAAGUGAAUAUCUAUUAGGCUAUGAAAUAGAUGUUGUCGAUCUUUUUUUCAACCCAUCAAUUAACUCACUAGGAACUAGGAAGUGUUCGCCAUUGGUUUUAUUUGUUCUUAAAUAUUUUUGGUAUUUAAUUUCACACUUACUCAAUGAUUCAGAUGGGUUAGUAGUUUGCAAAGAUACAAGUCGACAUUGAUAUUGUGGAAUUGGAACCGUGUACACACCAAGGGUUAGGACUUGCUCAAAUGGUUAUAUAUAUAGCUUAGUUCUCUUUCCACACUAAUUAAUAAAACACAUUUGUAAACAAAAAUAAGACCAACUGCACGUGCGAGUACGAUUCUUUCAAAUAAUAUUUUGUGCCGAUCAUUUUGAAUGUUUUUUUUAUGGUCUAUGAUACAAUACUGUAGUGUUAACUAUAGAAGAAAAAUUCAAAAAGACGUAAAUUGUAUGCAUUGAUAAAUAAAUAGUUUACUAAUGUUUAAAAAAAUAAAAAAUAAAAAAACAAAAACGCACACGCGAACGCGGUCUUUUUACAUGCGCAUUGUGUGCGUGCAGAAGACUAGUAUAUAGUUUGUAAAUAUUUAACUUUCUAAUUAAAAGUGAAAUCAGAAAAAUUUAAUUAAGGAAAAAAAUUUGAUUAUAUAGUUUUCAACUCUAUGAUUUCCAGAAUGCAAGUUCUAAGCAUAAGAUUAUAUUCAUAAUGAUCAAAAUCAAAAUACUUAAAAUCACCAUCUUGAUCCAAUACUCCAUAGCUACUGGCUUUGCCGAUGGAUAAUAAUAUUCAUGCAGACUAAUCAAGCAGCAUGGUGUUGAUGAAUUAACCGUUGUUAAUACUGGAGCAUUAGUAAACUUCCCAUUCCCCUUCUCCAACUCCUCCUCCUCAUCAUCGUCAUCAUCAUUAUCACUACAACAACUAUCAUCGUCGUCGUCGUCAUCAUCAACAACGGUAAUCCAUCCUUCGUCAUUAACAUACUCUCUCACAGCAUCCCUAAUGUCCUCAGACCCCUCGCCCUCAAAAAACUUCAACAACCUCCCCAGCUCCCCGUCCUCCAUGUCACCGACGAACGGCCGGACCGGUAUCCCAUUUUCCGAUUGGAGAAAAUACGAGUUGGGAUUAUCGUCCACGAUCACCACUCGCCGCAAGUCACGUCCCAAACCCGACAGGUCUUUGACGAACUUGCCGUACACCUCCUUGCAUGAGUCGCGGUAAAGGCGGUGGGAUAUGAAGCCCUGCCUGUCCAGCCGGUCCAGCACCAGAGAAGCGUACUCUCUCAUCCCCGCCGUGAACACCACCACCUCGUACUUCUCCGCCAGCUUUUGCAGAAACUGGUCAACUCCGGGACGUUUGAUCACGUAGAAGGUCAUCUCGGUGUCCCGAAUAAUGGGCCGGACGAGGAAGUCGAAGCGAUAGGGCAACGUGGCCGAAGUGUGCACCAGUGUUUCGUCCAGAUCAAGAAACACGGUUCUCUUCUCCGGUGAGGUUAACGGCGGAAGUGAGGGGCAUGUUGUUUCAGGUCCGGGUUCGGGCCAGGCCGGGUCUGGAGUUAGGAUAUCUAAGCUGCCUUUGUCGGUGUCAAUGCCGGAAAGUAUGACAUUGGAGGCGGCGGCUGCCUUCUUGACUGAGGAGUUGCGGCGGUGGUGCCACCUUUUGCCGUGGCGGUUCUUCAUGGCUAAACUCUUGUUUGCCCUAAUCUUAAUUAUUUUGGACACCAUUGUCUCUAUAUUGCUCUUUGUGAAUUGUAAUUUUGCCUGAAUUAAUUCAAGUUUGGGAAUCUGAGAUUAAUGUUCCGAGGGUUUUUAAACUUUAGCUAAUGUGGUUAGGGCAAGUGCGGGUGAGUUUUGUUUUAGCGGCGGUUGCUUUGGUUCAACUUUCUUGUUGAAGUGGAAUCCAGGCCUUCAUGGUUUGGUUUUUUGGUUACCCGGUUUAGUCUCGAGUGAGUACCAAGACUAUACCGGCCAGUUUUUUUUAGGUUUUCUAGUUCCUCAUUAAUAGUGAAUUUUUGUAUGCACAACGUGUUUCUAAAUAGUCAAUUGGCUUCCCAUUUUGUUUAACUUUGUUUGACUAAUAAGAACCUUCUAUCAUAGCUAGUUUUCCACUAACUCGAAACAAAAUUAGAAUUACCAACUUCCAGUACCUCGUUACAUUAUUGUUUGUGAAGAUAUAUACCUUAUAUGUUUUUUUAUUUUUUAAGAAUAUAUGAAAAGAGAUUUUAUUCAAAAGAAGAACCAAUUACGAAUUAUGGGAAUUGUGUGUGGAAGACAUAAUAGUCCCACGUGUUUCCCUACACUACCAGAAAUAGUUACAGGCUUAUCACCAUUGAUGAUAACUAUGAGCCAAUCAGACCCAACCCAAACCAGAAACGACGCUUCUCUAAACAGGUUACUCUAGUUGCCACAGUAUGCACCACACAAUUCGCAUUUCUUGUGAAAGUGUAACAUCCUGACCCAGAUUAAUAAAAAUUCUAAAUUUUCAACGAGUUUAAUUACCUUGGAUUAGACAAAUUCGAUAAAAUCGUAACUGGCUCAAGUUACCUUUGAAUUGAAAGAAGGGAGUGGGUACCUUAAUGUUUCCAAAUGAACCCAUGGUUUCUCUUUUACAAGAGUCCAAGAUCAUGAGGCCAGUUUUAACAUGAUCAAUAGGAUUGAUCCCGAGAUCGGAUCCUCUUCCCUCCCCCUGGAUUGAUCCGAGAAAUCUUUGUAUAUCCCCUUCUCAAGAUCGGUGUUCUAGAGAGGCCUCCUCUCCCGAGAGAGUUCUACAGCUCUCCCUAUCUUACAACCCAGAUAGGAAACCAAAACCAAAUCGAAACUGGAAAAGUAAACAAUCUGAGUAAUUGAAGUAUAAUAGUUACAGCUACUGGCCGAGAUAUUUCUAUGAGAUAGCUUUGAAUACCACAUCAGUAUACAUCAGUACACAGUUGCCAACGUGCUAUCAGAAACUAAACUGAUUAUGAUAAAACUGAAUAACUAUACAUCUAGGUAAAGGUAAAAAAGUCUGGAAUGGUUCCCUAUAGAAGUCAACAUAUAUACUCAUUCUGUAAUGCUUUAAGUUUAUUCUCAUGUUCUUGUUAGGUAUUUGAGUCCCCUUUAGGAUUACAACCAUGUUCUCGUUAGGUUCAUGUCUCCUUACUUUAUCAUCUUGUCUAUAAUUUUUGACAAAUGUGAGAGCUGGUAGCUAUAUAUAAGGGCUGGUAUAUCUACAUUGUAAUUCCACAACAACAAUGACCAAAGGCCACAUUUCUCUUGCCACAUUAUUAACAAAUGUGAGAGCUUUUACUGUUUAAGAUAUGAACCCCACCCCAUUUGAUAUCGUAGGUGAGACAUUGUCUCACAAUUGCAUAUAAUUAUGGCUAGGUAAUAUAUUAUUGUUUUUUACGUACUAAAACCUGACAGGGCUGUCAUCUCUCGCCUCCCCCUCUUUUCUUUGCUCCAACUUUUGCUAUUUUUUAAUUUUAAAAAUUCAAAUAUUUAUGAAAUAACUCACAAUGCUCCCAGUCUCCAACACUUGUAUCUUAUUUGUAGUUCUUUUCCCAUUCUUUUCUUCAUCUCUGUCCUUCACUUUAUCUUCCGCCUCUCUCUCUCUCUCUCUGCAGAACCAAAGUUCUGACCGCCUCGGAUUUCUUGACGAUCUCCGACUUCGAGCCAACGACCGCCUUCGACAUCACUUUGUAUGGUAACUGACCAUAUUCCCGGUAUUNNNNNNNNNNNNNNNNNNNNNNNNNNNNNNNNNNNNNNNNNNNNNNNNNNCUAUUCUUUCUAUGAUUAGUUUGAAUCAUGAUAUAGCUAUAUGAAUAUUGUAUUGUCUAUUGAGACAAUGUUUUCAGAAUUUAAAGGGCAUCUGUUAUAAUUUUCUUUUGAAGAUGAUGUCAGGUUCUUGCAUACAAAACCAUAAAGAGGAUCAAAAUUAUUUUAGACUGUGUCAGAUACGUCAGGUAGUCUAUUAAUGAUUACAGGUUGAUAACUUUGUUUGAUUGGUGUGGUUUGUGGUUGGAACUACUGUGGCCUUGGAGUGGUUGUGUUUCAAAUGCAAUUCGGUUCUUGGUUCAAUACUACACUGCAGAUUUUACAGAUCAAAGUUGCAAACUUUUGUGUUGCCUUUUAAUCUCAAUGAGCUCUAAAGAUUUACUACAUUCUAACUAAGUUUAUAUCUUGUUGUAUGAGUUAUUCUUGGUCCAAGUGGGAGAAUGUUAGAGUUAUAUCUAAUGUGGACUCAAGAUUAACACAUGAGAGUCCAACAUAUAUAAACAUCUUGUGAAAUAAGUAAAUGAGGUUAAUCGAUAAUACUUAACUUAGAUAUUUAUCUUAGUAAUCUGAUUAGAUAAAUACAAGGAAUUUGAGAUAACAUAGAAUAUAUGUUAUAGUUAUCACAUAAGGUAAUUGAUUGGUUUAUUAGAGUUGCCUUGUGAGAUGGGAUUCUAAGUGAACUUGUCAAUAUAUAAAAGGGUCCCUGUGUAAGCUCAUACUACGCCUGUAAGUUUUCAUACUCACUGUGAAGAGGCAAUCUGGAGAAUUACACAGAAAACUUCCUCUGCUCCAGCUUGAUGGCGUUGAACAUGAACAACCAAGGUUGGUGCUUCUAAUUCUUAUACAUGUAUAUAUGUUCUUGUUUUGCUGAAACAUGAUGCAAUAUGUUUAUGUUUAUAUGUGGUUUUAAGUUCAAUACUAAACACGUCCAAAAUUGUCACUAGACAUUUUAUUGGAGCUUUACAAACAGUUAACAUCGUCUCGGGUUGUCACUAGACUUGUUCUUGGUAUCUUUCAAUUGGUAGGUUGUCUAUUUCAUGGUUCCACGGUGACGAUAGGUCAUUUCGGACUUCCAUCAAGAUUGAACAACUCGAUCCUCACCUUUCUCAUUUAGGAGAGGAUACAAUUCCUUUUAGAGCUUUGUCAUUUGGGUGGAGUUUCUACCCUUGGCCCAUGGUAAUAAGCAUUUAGUGUUUUUUAGUGAGCGCUUGUGUACUAUGUAGUAAUUAAUGCUUUAAUAGUCUACAACUCUCGUGUCGAAUGAUUGAACCUAAUCAAUGUGUCAUUUGUGCUACUACUAGUCUAUAGGUUCUCAUGUCGAAUGAUUGAACCUAAUCAAUGUGUCAGAGCAUCUUUAGCGCCGCAAUACUAGUCAUUUUUGAGUUAAAUUUUAGUCAAAAUUAGUUAAAAUGUUAUUUUGGCUAACCACUUUAAAAAUGUGUUUGUAUCAAU
This 57566-nucleotide long non-coding RNA is filed under the name Fragaria vesca (wild strawberry). RNAcentral describes it as "long non-coding RNA (FVES_LNC001449)". Lineage: Eukaryota; Viridiplantae; Streptophyta; Magnoliopsida; Rosales; Rosaceae. The record is from RNAcentral.